RNAcentral lists this long non-coding RNA (66632 nucleotides) under Ananas comosus (pineapple). RNAcentral describes it as "long non-coding RNA (ACOM_LNC005791)". The record is from RNAcentral. Lineage: Eukaryota; Viridiplantae; Streptophyta; Magnoliopsida; Poales; Bromeliaceae.
CGUUUUUUUUAUUUUUUUAUUUUUUUUUUUUUUUUUUUUUUUUUUUUUUUUUUUUUUUUUUUUUUUUUUUUUUAUUUUUUUUUUUUUUUUUUUUUUUUUUUUUUUUUUUUUUUUUUUUUUUUUUUUUUUUUUUUUUUUUUUUUUUUUUUUUUUUUUUUAUUUUUUUUUUUUUUUUUUUUUUUUUUUUUUUUUUUUUUUUUUUUUUUUUUUUUUUUUUUUUUUUUUUUUUUUAUUUUUUCUUUUUUUUUUUUUUUUUUUUUUUUUUUUUUUUUUUUUUUUUUUUUUUUUUUUUUUUUUUUAUUUUUUUUUUUUUUUUUUUAUUUUUUUUUUGUUUUUUUUUUUUUUUUUUUUUUUUUUUUUAUUUUUUUUUUUUUUUUUUUUUUUUUUUUUUUUUUUUUUUUUUUUUUUUUUUUUUUUUUUUUUUUUUUUUUUUUAUUUUUUUUUUGAAGAAGUAAAGUCGUGGCCCACCAUGGCAAUUUGAGUUGUACUGAACCAAUUCCUAGGAACUUCUUCUUUUGUGCCCAUUCCAAAAAGGUGAAACUGUGUGCCCGGAGGGUAUUCAAUGGUAUUACGAAACCUUACUCGAUCACGUAACGUACGUGUUUGUUUUGCCUCCUAUUCACAUCAAUCAGGAAGAGAAUGAGUUUACCGGGAAGCAUAAGAGCCAAACAAAACAGUGUGAGCUAAGUGGUAAGGGGGGUUAGCCUUUUUCGGCUUAUAAUUAUAGCAUUUUAGUUUUGUAGCAUCUCUAAUUUCUAGCUGUGCUUGCCUCUAUACGCGCUUUCGAACUCCAUCCUGAGGAGCUUGAUUUGAUUCUUACUAUGCUCUUCUGGUUGUGAAGUGCCAUUGUCGCUUUAAGGUGAAUGCCACCGCAUUUUCCUCAGAGAGCGUGCAACAAGAGCGACAGAAAGUGAUUCCAAGCGCUCUGGCCAUCGACUACGAGAUGGUGCAAAUAUCAUUAAACAUUUUUAAAUACUCUUGCUGUGUUUCAUCAGGAGCUUCAUUUAGAAGCAUUCAGGAUCAGGCAGUAACGAAUCGACUGCUAGAAAUUGUUUGCUCAUUCAGUGAGCUUCGUUCCCGGCAGCAGCCUUUAAGGUCCCGACAUCAUGGCGGGGUCCAUCACACAUGGUGCUCAGCAUUGAAUGUUUCGAUCUUUCAGUCUACUCAAUUGUUUUUAUCAAAAUUGAAUUUUAUUGGGCCUUUCUAUAUACGUUGAUUUUGCUUACCUACCAUUAUUACUUAUUGAAUAUUGUUGCAAUUGUUGAUCAUAUUGUAAUUAUAUUGUGUCUGAUAAUUACUCAUGUUCAUUAUUUAUGUUCCAUUGAUCACGUAUGUGGGACUUGUUGUUCAAGACGAGCUUUCAUUUGGGACUUAUUUUUGACUAUUUGUUAUUGCCUUACUUCUAUGCUAGUGUUAGUCUAAAUGUAACUUUUGUUCUCUAUAAAGAUAUAAGUUUAGGGGGUUUUUUGUUUAUUAUGGUAAAGAAUGAAUUAUUUGUCUAUCUUACACGCUUUGAUUAGAUAUCUACAUUAGCUAUAUUUUCUCGCCUUUUUUUAAUGUUUAACUCUAUUAUUCCUUUAUGGAAAUCAACUACAAAUAUUGUGGCCGGUUCCUGCUACGCUCUAUUUGCUAUUGUCGUUACUUCGCGUUCUACUGAAGUCCUAUAGCAACUCUGUGUUUUUGAAAAGGUGUGAAUUAUUGGCUAUUUUUUACAUUGCUUUUGUUUUGGGUGUCGGUUUUAGUUAGAAAUUUUAUUGUCUAUUAGCGAUUUUACUAAAUAUGUAUUAUGUUUUUUUUGCAAUAAACUGGACCUAUGAUUUAGAUGCGGAUUGUUCUAUGUCUAUUUACUAUUGCCUUGUUUGUGCCAUCGUAAGUUUAAUGCAACCUUUGUGCUUACUAACAAAUUAGAAAUGUAUUGGCCUAAUUUUUCCACUGUUGUGGCUUUUGAUUUGCUUUAAUUUGAAUUUCAUUAACGAUUCUAGUUAACCGUUGUUCUUCUUUCCAUAGAAAACUGUGAUCGAAUUUAGUGCGGUUGUUCUACGUUUAUUUAUUGUCGUCUUAGCUUUCAUACUACUAUAAUUCCUAAAAUAACUCUAUAAUUCCUAUAAGCUCUUAAUUUUACGUGGUUUCUUUGCAUUAAUAAAACGAUUGAAUGUAUUUUCUAUUUUAUAUUAAUUUUUGGCUUUGAAUGUCCUCAUUACUAUAUUUAUUUUCUUUUAAUUAGCUUUGUUAUGUUUGUAUUAGGAAACUAAUGAGAUUUGGUGUGUUUAUUUUAAUGUCUGUUUGGCUGAUUGCCAUUACUUUCGUGCUACUAAUGUCCUAAUGCAACAAUGUUCUGCAUCAAAAAAAGAAUAAAUGUAUUAUCUAGUUUUGCAUUACUGUUUGCUUUGAUUUUUAGUUAGAAUUUUAUUAUUUACUAAAAUUUUGAAACAUAACUGUCAUUUGAUGUAAUAUGUGUAUAGCUAUUUCUCUCAUAUACCUCUUUUCUCUUCUUUUUGGAUUGAUAAAUGGUAAUUUUUUUGGUGGCGGACAUUUUAUAUCUAGAUUUUUUCUUUAAUACUUUUAUCUGCCUGUGUCGCACGGUAUUCCUAUACUAAUAAAUAUAUCUAUAACGCAACCAUUUUAAUCGAGUAAUUUUUUUUUAUCCAUAUACUAUCUAAUCUCUUAAUCGACUGGAGUUGAGUUCAGAUAUUAAAUAGUUUUGGACAUGCUUUAGAAUACUCCGAAAGUAGUUUCAUGUGAGGGAACUUUUUUUUAAAAAACUACCCUAAGUAAUAAUAAAAGUUAUAAAACCUAUCUAAAAAAUUAAAUGUUAAAUCUUUUUUGGUAUUGUUGUCUUCUGUCUUCUUUAUUUUUUUUUAACAUUAGAAUUCUAUAAUUAUUUUUGACACUAAUUCUUAUAUAAUUUAUAUCAGGUAGAAGAAAUAUAUAUUUAUCAUUAUUGAACUUGCUUGUAAUACAUUUAUGGUUAACUAAUCUAGAUGACAAUUUCUAAAAAAUUAAAAUAAAUAAAAUUACUUCUAAUCUUUUUUUUUUUCGGUUGAUGAAACACAUAGGAUAAAUAAACUUGUAGUCAAUUUCAUUCCUCUCUAAAUAUCAUUUACAUAAAAAUGUUGUGUUAUAAAAGUUUUUUUUUCGUUUUUUUUUUUUGAGAGAGAUUGGUAGCACGCUAUCCGCCUUCGGUUUUUUUCAUUUAGAAAAUAAACUUAGGGCUAAAAACAUGUGAAUUCAACUAGGAUUCAAACUUCGUUAUAAAAAUAUUGCACUUGCUCUAAGUAACUCGUAAUGUUGUUAUAAAAAGUUUUUAAAAUAAUGUCAAUAAGAUUUUGAAAUGUAAGUAAGAAAUUUGGUAAAGUUGGGAGGCAAUUGUUACAAUUUAUCUUAGGAAAAUACUAUAACUGUAUUCCUAUAUAAACAUAUAUAUCUUACAAGAGAGUUGUUUCUAGUUAUGAUCACAAUAAUUUAUAAUUUAUAGAUAUAUAGAUAGAUUACUCUUGUCUUAUAAUAAUUACUAAAGUACUCUAUAAACUCUAUACUAAAGUUUGAAACCUAAAUGCCGUUCGCUCCAUCGAGCCACGUGGUCUUGACAUUAAAUACAAUGUGCAUUGAACAUUAAAUAUAAUGUGCCACGUGUCUCUCUCUCCCUCACAUCUCUCGCUGUGCAUGAACCAAAUAAUUCAAUUCACAAGAAUAUUGCCAUGUACCAAUUGCCUAUCCUUGCUAAUCAUUAGGCGUGCAUGCAUCCACCUCCCAGCUUUUCCUAUAUAUCCUAGCAUGUUCACGCUAUCCAACAAAGUAUGAAUGUGUAUACUUGUCUCUACUUAUUUGUUCUUCCAGUUUUAUCAGUAGUGCUAGAACAUAUUUCCUCCGACCUUGCUAUAUUUGUUUUGAAUUAAUUUGGGAUCAUAUCUUCUACUGUUUGUUAGGUGAAGGUAACAAACUAUGUUGCCUUUAAACUCCAUAAAGUGUACUGCCUUGAUAGUAUAGGAAUACAAAACAAAUAAUAUAAAAUUUAACAGUAAAAUUAAUUUUUAGUAUAUUACCUUGAUAGUAUUAGGAAUACGAAACAAUAGAUAUAACUUUAACAUUAAACAGAUUAUUUUUUCCAGCAUACUGCGGAGCAAUAACCUUACAUAAACGGCUAUCCUAAAGCUUAAACCAAUGUCGUCCCUCCAUCCGAGCCAACUGUCUUUCUUGUAAUAUGAUUCUCUCUCUCCCCUCACAUGUCUCCCUCGCGCUUUACAUCCAAAUAUAUGGUGCAUGGUGGGAAAAAAAUAUAAGUAGCAAGGAUAUUGCAUUGUACUUUGCUAUCUAUGUAACACGUGGUUCAUGCAUCCUCCCCCCCACCCCAGCAUUUCUUAUAUUAUAUGCUAUUCACUACGAAACAUGUGGAUAAAUGCUUAAAUUUGUCUCUACUUACUUGUCUUUUCGCAUCAAAUAGUGUUAAGCAUCUUCUCCAGAGCUUCCUAUAUAUAUAAACGUCAGCUUCUAUUACAUUUAGUUAUUGGGCUCUUCUUACCUUUCAUUUUACUUCGCUUUUGAGUAAUUUGAAUUUUUUCUAUUUUGUGCUUGUAUUUCUCUUAUUGAUUACUAGUGCCAGUUAUAUUUCAUCUUGUUUGUUUUUAGUUAAUUUAUUUUGGUAUCAUAUUUUCUGCUUAGUCUUCCUAAGUAUGUUGGUAAAACUAUCUCAUCUUUGUUUUUCGGAUUCCUAUCUUUUUCUUGACUUAUGUAUAUGAUAGCAGUUCUUACUUAGCUUAAUGUUACAUUCGCUCUAGGCAUUCUUUUUAUUUUUAAUUUGCUAAAAUUAAUGAUCAAGUUCUUAUCAUUAUUUUGUGCAUUAUAAUUUUCUUUACUUUUUAGUGCGUUAUUUGGUGCUUUUUUUAUGUUUUUUCGUUAGUUCUUUAAUGGAAUGAUAACAUAAAUUGUUAAAAGUAAAUAAAUUAAAUGGCUUUAUUUGUUUUAAGGAUAAGUUUUUAUGUUGGUUGAUUGUUGGGUUCCUUUCUUUUUUGUAUUAAUGGUGGACUAAUAUAUAGAUGAUUUUGUCUGCAUAUGCUUAAAUUUUUUAAUUUUAGCAGCUUAUUUGUUAGUCAAUUGUAUGUUAAAUGAUUGGUUAGAUAGUUCUCUAGACCAAGAGCAUGGAUGGGUUCUGGAUUUUAAACAAAACUAAUGCAGUCUAAUGUAUGCAAGAGUUCAGAACACAGUAGCCGUUAUUUUUUAUGAUAUAUUAAAUUUAUUCUGGGCAGUUUGUCAUUCCUAUGCCUUAACUUAAAAUGGUUAUGGUGAGACCGCCAGAUAGUCCUAUAUAUAAGAUAGGAUAGAUAGGGACCUUAAACUCUAACUUGGCUUAAAGCAUUUUGGGCCGGUUGUUGGGUAGCGCAACGAGUUAUUGUUGCUAGUGAGACAUGGGGUCGUAUAUUUGGGUAGAGAGGCGCGGGUUCACCACUGAACAUGUGUGAGCGAGUCUCGGCUGGAGCCAAGGUCGAAUGACGGGAACUAAGCGGGAUGAGUCUCACGAUCGCCGGUGAUCUUGGGGUGGUGUGUGAUUGGACUUGGUUGUCAUGUGGUUUUAUAAGAGAGUUAAGCGGCUAGGACGGGAGUAAGUCUAUAAACUCUUAAACGGCUAAGCAUUUUUGGGUCCGGUUGUUGCCCAACGAGUUAUUGUUGCUCAGUGAGACGCUGGGUCGUUAUAUUUUAGUAUCAGAGCCGGUUCACCAACUGACAGUGUGUAUGGCAAGUCUUCGCUCGGCUGAGCCAGGGUCGAAUGACGGGGGCUAGCGGAUGAGUCUCACAUCGCUGAUAAUGUGAUCUCUGGCUGUGUGUGUAAUAGUCCCACAUCGAUGGACGGGGUUGUCAUGGUGUCCGUAAGACACUAGUAAUAAUAACUGGGCUUAAGCAUUUUGGAGCCGAUGGCUGGGCCCAACGAGUUAUUAUUGGCUGUGGGCGUGGGCGGUGCGUGUAAUUUGGUAUCAGAGCCAAUUGUACGCAGCCGCGAGUGUGAGCUGAGUCUCGGCUGAGAAGGGUCCUGGAUGACGAUUCUAAGCGAGCAGAUCUCACAUCGCUGGUACUUGUGAGCCUGAGCCUGACGAGGACCCGUCAGGCAUUAAGGAGGGGAGAUUGUGAGACCCCAGAUACGUCCUAAUCAUAUAGAUAUAUAGGGGCUUCCAACUCUUAAGCACACCGGCUUAAGCACGCUUUUGGGUGUGGCAAGGCCCAGGAGGUUAAGACGAGUUAUAGCGUGAUAGGACGAGAGUAUCCUAGGAUGGGUGACUCCCUGGGAAGUUGGGGGAGGAGCGUCACAGAUGGUUCGAGAGCCAAUUACCAGCCGGAAGUGUGAGAUGAGUCUCGCUGGAGCCAGGUCUGGAUGACCGGGCUAAGGCGAGAUGAGUCUGCACAUCGUCUGGUAUUUGUGAGCUGAUCGUGGGACGAGGCAUCGUCAGGUGGCUUAAAGGACGGGGAGAUUUGUGAGACCGCAGAUAGUCCUAUAUAUAAUGAUAUAAUAGGCUAACUCUUAAACUGGGCUUAAAGCUUUUUUGGCCGGUUGUUUGGGAGGUGCCGCAACGAUAUUGUUGCUAGUCGACUGGGUUCCGUUAUAUUUGAUAUCAGAGUCCGGUUCACUAACUGAACAUGUUGUAAACGAGUCUCGGCUGAGUCAGGGUCAGAAUGACGGGCUACGAGAUGAGUGCUCACAUCGCCUGAUGAUCUUGGCUGUGUAGUGUAUAGCCCACAUCGGAUGGAAAAGGGGUUUCAUGGUGUCCUUUAGAUCACUAUAGUAAUAAUAACUAGGCUUCAAGCAUUUUGGGCCGAUGGUUGGGCCCACGCAGUUAUUAUUUGGGUCUAGUGGGGCUUGGGUCGUUACAGGUUAUCUCCGUCUCUUUUUUCAUAUCAUUCUGAAAGCGUUAAAGGACAAUGGCGGUCCCCCUACCCAGUAGUCAUAUAAGCAUCUGUCACCAACAUCUUGGGGUUUCUUGGCACUUCCCUUUUCUAAUACAGGCUCAAUGUUCGGGUUCUGAAGGCUUGUAUGUGGGAGUUGGCGAAAUAAAAAGUUGAAAAUAUUGAUGGAACUAAAGAGAUUUUUUAAGUGAUUUGGUCAGAAAUACAUUAAUCUGAAUUACGCAGAAGCAAAAAGGUCGCGUCAUGAAGUAAUUAUAUGCUUGAAGAAAGCACUUAAUUUUGAUGUUGGCUGAUUAUUAACUAUGAUGACUUAAUGUUUAUAAAUCUUUAUAUCGAACAGUUGUGUGCAAGCAUAACAACUCCAGUUCGAGCUACUAAUUUUCUAAAAGAAAUGUUAAUCUAUGCUCUCAGUGAGGUUGGACGCUUCAAAAUUGAGAAUACAGUGGCUGGGACAACAAGCCGACCAUGUUGCGAGGUUCUAUGGCCCACUACAAAUAAUCUCAUGGCAAUAUGUGCAGAGGAUGGGAGUUUGCGUGUUACGAAUUACUGAUAAUCUUUUGAGAUCUCAUAGUCUGUUCUGUUUAAUUUAUGUAUGGUUUUGUUGUUUUAUGUUCUGCAACUCUUCUUUGCCAUGCAGUGCCGUGAUAGUCUGUCUGUUUAAUAUGAUGUCUGGUCUUUGUUCGUUUUUAUGUUUCUGCAACUUCUUCCUUUACUUUGGCAGUUACGUAAGAUAUGUUGAAUUUCCUCUGACGCUUUAAAGCAGCGAUGUUUUCUGAAAAUUUCUAAUGUGACUUCCUACGUUAUAUCAAUAUUAACUACCUUUCGUCUAACAAUGGCACAAAAAAAGAUUUCUAACUCUGAUGCUAAGAGCGUUUUAUCAAUUAUAUUUGUAUUAAUCUAUAUUAUAUAUUUUAGUUAUCUUGGGCAGUAAUGUGAUUUAUAUAUAAUAUAUAUAUAUAUUUAUAUAAUAUAUUUAUAUAUAUUUAUAUAUAUAUAUAUAUAUAGUAUAUGAGUUGUGCGGUGAUUUAGGCAAGGCAGAGAGCCCUCUGGUGCCUUCCAAAUAUUUUCGGUAUGUUCGGGACUUUCGAAUUGACGAUCGCGUCCGUUAGAGUUGAUCUAGAGUAUUCGAAGUACCUAGAAAAAUAAAUUUUGUGAAUUUUUCGAUAUCAUUUGCCUACACGUGAUUGAGGGCCAAAAUCAAUAAUUUUUUAAGGCCGUUGUGAGCCGUUGCAAGUUUAACGGUGUAGAAAUACUCCAAAUCACGUGAAAUUUGAUAGAAAAUUUUUUGUACUAUAUAAAAUAAAGAUAAAUAAUCUUCCGAUCUAAAUUUUUAAUGUCAUAAUCAUCAACAUUUUGUGAGAUUUUAUUUCAGCCGUGAUUUUGAGCCCGCAUUCGAUCACUAGGCAAAUAUAUGAAAAUCACAAAAAUUUAUUUUCUAGGUACUUCAUAACUCUAUGAUAAAGUCUAACAGGCUCGAUCGUCGAUUCGAAGGUCCCAACCAUCGAAAACAAAUUAGAAGGCCCGCGAGGGCCUCCGUGCUUCAUAAGCACUCGCCUAGCCGCACUUAUAUAUAUAUAAUAUAUAUAUAUAUAUAUUAUAUAUAUAUAUAUAUAUAUAAUAUAUAUAAUUCCUUUUGCUGUUAGGUGCAUGGGGAUUUAUAUGGAGAUAAAGAAGUAUCUGGAAAAGCAGAAGUGUUGGGGCGAAAGCCAUUGGAAAUAAGGGCUGGCACAAGAGUAAGCAGCCAUAUUCGCUCACGUUCGGACGGUAUUCAGCUUGUUCGGAGCAUCGACUCGAAAUUAAAAUGAGCCGAAUUGAAAAUAGGAAAAAAAAAACUCAAAAACUUAUUCCAAAUUGAAUUAGGCUCGGAAAAACUUAUAAUAUAUAUAUAUAUAUUAAUAUAUAUAUAUAUAUAUAUAUAUAUAUAGCUAGGCUCCUAUGCUUUCGAAAGUAUGGGAGGCCCCGUGCUUGUAAGUUGUUUUCGAUGAUGGGACAUCCGAUUCGGCGAUCGGUUUCGUUAAACUUGAUCUACGCUAUUGGAACUAUCUAGAAACCAAAUUUCAUAAUUUUUUGAUUUCGUUUGUCUAGUGAACGAGUAGCCUGAAAAUGAACGGCUGAAAAUGAAAAUCUCAAAAAAAACAGUGAUAAAGGAUUCAAAUUUUAAAUCGGAAGUAUUGAUCUUGCUACUGAUGUUAAGUAGAAUUUUCUAUUAAAUUUUCAUGUAAUAUGGAUACUUCUACACCGUUGAACUUAAAAAUGUGCCACAUCGACCGUUAAAAUAGUUAUUUUUUAGACCUUUUGAUCGCUUAGUAAAUAAUGUCAAAAAAAUCUAAAAUUUGGUUUCUAGAUAGUUCCAAUAGGGUAGAUCAUACCUAACGGAACCGAUCGUCGAAUCGAACGUCCUAUCAUCGAAAAUAACUUACAAGCACGGGGCCUUCCGUACUUUCGAAAGUACGGGAGACGGACUCUAUAGAGCUAUAUAUAUAUAUAUAUAUAUAGCUAGAGAGAGAGAGAGAGAGAGAGAGAGAGAGAGAGAGAGAGAGAGAGAGAGAGAGAGAGAGAGGGCUGGUAUGCUUAUCGGUAGCACGGAGGGCUCCGUGCUUCCAAGUUGUUUUCGAUGUUGCGGACUUUCGAAUCGACGAUCGGCUCCGUUAGAGUUGAUCUAGUGUAUUUGAACUACCUAGAACUAGGCUACUAUACUAUCGGUAGCAUGGAGCGCUCCGUGCUACCAAGUUAUUUUCGAUGAUGCGGCUUCCAAAUCGACGAUCGACUCCGUUAGACUUGAUCUAUACUAUUGAAAGUAUUUAGAAACUAAAUUUCAUAAUUUUUCGAUAUCAUUUACCUAUCAAACAAGUAGUCUAAAAUUGAACGACUGAAAAUAAAAACCUCAUGAAAAAUGAUGAUAAAAGAUUUAAAUUCAAGAUCGGAUAUACUGAUCUUACUCUAAACAGUGAAAAGAAUUUUUUAUAAAAUUUUCAUCGCAUUUGGAUUGUUUUACACUGUUAAACUCACUAACACACCACAUCGGCCAUUAAAAUUGUCAAUUUUGAAAUCGUUUGAUCACUAGUCAAAUGAUGUCGAAAAAAUAUGAAAUUUAGUUUCCAAAUACUUUCAAUAGUGUAGAUCAAGUCUAACGGAGCUGAUCGUCGAUUUGAAAGCCGCAUCAUCGAAAAUAACUUGGUAGCACGGAGCGCUCCGUGCUACCGAUAGCAUAGUAGCCGGACUCUAUAUAUAUAUAUAUAUAUAUAUAUCUUUUUUUUGAAUUUUUCUCUAAUUUUUUUCUCCCUCUCAUCCUAAUCAUCUAUCAAAAUUGAUAAAUAGCUACGAACUUAGGAGCGUACAAGAAUUACUGAGCUCCUAAUAGCACAAUAACUCUAUUAUAUAUAAUAUAACAUAUAUUUUAAUUAUAUAUAAUAAUAUAUAUUAUGUAUUUUAAUUAUAUUUAUAUAAAGUUUUGAUUAUUGGGCAUAUUUACUGGCUCACAACCAAAUAAGCAAAAUCCUACUCUAAUUACUUUCUGUCUCUCCCCCUCUCAUUCACUUGCUCGUAUAGUUGCUUUCCUAAAUUAUUUUUCUAAAUAUUAUAAUAUUGUAUUCAUGCAUUUACUUUGUAUGUUGAACUAUUAGACAUGUUUACGUAUUAAAUUUUGAUAACGUUCUCUAAAAAUUAAAUUAUAGAUUAAUUGCGUAUUGUUAAGAAUUUCAAACAGCGCGUUUAGGGCUCGAGCUUGCUGGACUCAAAAUUAGACUAACUUGAGUUCGGCUCGAAUUAAUUUCAAACCGAGCUCGAGUCUAAAUUUAGGCUCGAAAUUAAUUUCAAGCCGAGCUUACGUUGAGAUAAGCUCUCUAAAGCUCGGCUUGUUUCCAACCCCUACAUGGAACAUAUAUAGUUAUUUGAUGAAAUUAUAUCUGCCAAAAAAUGGAUUCAGAUACAACCAAAUAUCUUUUUGAAUUCGAAUAUGGAUAGAAUUAAUAUUUGGAUAUUAUUCGAAUAAUAUAUUGUUGUGAGCCGAAUUUCUGGACCGUUGGCCCGGUCGAUAGCCUAAUUCAGGAAGUGAACAGGGAGGUGGAACAGCUUUUGAAGGUGACCCUCGAAAUUUGCGUCCCAAACUAAAUCAAAUGAUCGGCUAAUGAGGGAUCCGAAGGACGUUUACAGAAUGUUGAUUUUUACUAUUGCUCUUAUUCAUAAGAAAAUCUAACUUAAAACUACUAGAAAAGCAAGAAAUGGAAGGAAAAUAAAGAUUACAAAUAGAUUACUUCUAAAAAGCGGAAAUGUGCAUGAAAUAAAAUGGUCUUCUUGUUCUCAGGGAAAAAAACCUCUUUGACAGGUGUAUUUCGUUUAUUUAUAAUCCCAUCUAUCCAUGUCCCUGUUUCUGCGGGCCACUCCUAACAGAUCUCAGCUGUAUCAUGCCAAACCGAUUUUUGGUUUUGGAUACGUUCUUUUCAGAUCCUGGCGCACCACAUGUCACUCUAUAUUUGACUUUGGGAGCCCUCUUCAUAGUGUACGCCGACUUACCACGUGUCACCAUUUUUAUAGCGUCAACAUAUAUAUAUAUAUAUAUAGUACGGCUAUGGUGCUUGUAAAAGCAUAGGAGCUCAAUUCUCUCUCUCUAUAUAUAUAUGAAUUAGAAUUAACAAUAAUAUAACUAUAAUUUCACAUUUAUAUUAAAAUUUUUAAAUAUCUAUAUUUGAUUGAAUUAAAUUUAAGAUUUAACGAACACAAAUAUAAUUUUUUACAUUAAAUUUAUAAUAAAUAUAAAAAAUCAUCUCAUUUUUCCACAAAUAUAUAUUAUGUUUUCACAAAAAAAAUCAAACUUUUAUUUAUCUCCUCAUAGGUAGCAAUUAUUCCCCCUUUAUCUUUCAAAAAAAUACAAUUGAACCUUUCUUAUCUCUUCACAAAAAGUAGCAAUCAAAUAAGCAAUCAAACUUUUUUUUACGUAACUGAAACCUUGAAAGUAAAAUAUCGAAACAAGAGAAUAGAUUAUCGGAAUCAGAAAAACAGAAAAAUAAAAUAUUAAUUUGAAUAUUCGUAUUCACAUUUAUUUUUUUUCCAAUAUUCUCAAUAAUUUUAAUUCUCUAAAUUUUUAUUCCUAUUAAUAUUCAAUUGGAUUUGAAUAUAUUUUUUAUAUGAAUACAAAUAAUAUUACACAUGAGGAGUUGAACCGGAAUGCUAUCGGUAGCAAACAGAUUUUGUUGUCACUUAUUUAUUUUCGAUGAUGAAGCAUUUAAAUCGACGAUCGGAACUGUUGAACAUGAUUUAUACCACCUGAAACAUUUAGAGACCAAAUUUCAUAUUUUUUCGAUAUUAUUCUCUUGUUCAUCAAGUUGACACAAAAAAGAACGGCUGAGAAUGAAUAUCCUUUAAAAAGUGAUGAUAGAAAUUUUGUAAUUAAGAUGGAGAGUAUAAAUCUUGUUCUAAAUAGUUUUAAAAAAAUUUCUAUCCAAAAUUCAACUGAUUAGAAAAUGCAUCAUAUCGACCAUUAAAAUUACAAAUUUUGACCAAUCGUCCCUAGAGCAAGUGGCAAAGGGCUCGGUGGUUGGUACCCAAGAUCCCGAAUUCGAAUCCUAGUUGAUUCGCAUUUCCAGCUAAGUUUAUUUCUAAAUGAAAUAAACGAAGCGGGUAGCGUGCUAUCUAUCUCUUAAAAAAAAAAAAAUUACAAAUUUUGAAACCUUUUGAUCAUUAGGCAAAUGAUAUCAAAAAAAUUUAAAAUACUUCAAUCGAUAUACAUUAUAUUCAACGAUAUCGACCAUCAAUUUGAAAGUCCUAUUAUCAAAAAUAAAUAAAUGAUAAUAAAAUUCGUAACAUAACAUUCCAGUUUAAUUUUAUAUAUGAGUGUAAAUAUUGAAAAUAAUAUUUUAUCAGUUUUCAUCCGAAAGUGGGUGGGAUUGGAGGACGAUUGUACGGUGCGGUGCAUUGAUGACGAGCCAGCUGUGUCUGACAUGGCCCGUCGGCCGUGGCUGUCUGAUCAGUUCUUUCUAUACUGCUACUUUCCACAAAGUCUUCCCACUAACGUAGAUUGGUUCUGAAGGCUGCAGAUUACUUUUCCUUUUCCUCGGCCAAUGGGCAACAUGAUAUUUAAGUUCAUAGGUAAAUCAUAAUUGGGUUAAUUUCACUAGUACCCUGCAAAAAAAUUAAUAAUAUCAUAAAUAACCUAAAACAAAAUUAAUUAUAUCACAAUUAUUUUUCUAAAUAUAUAAAUAUUUUCAAAUCUAUUCUUAUUUGCAAACUCCGUUAAAUUUACAUAGAAUUAAAAAUUACUUACUGAUUUUUGCCCUUGAUGUUUAAAGGGUGUUGAAGGUUAUAGUGAAAAAAAAAAAUAUUCAACCCCCCUCAACUAUAUGCUAUUUUGAAGAAAUUCCCUAGUUUUUUUCUGUAUAAAAGUCCAUUUAGUUUUUAUUUAUUUUGUUUAAAAUAAUUUUAUUAAUUAAAUUAAAUAUUUUAAUCAAAAUCAAGACACUCCAUUAGCAACUAAUUAUUAAAUCUAGAAUUAUACUAUUUUUGCCGGUUGAAUAAAAAUUUUAGUUAUUUUAUCAAAUUUAACGGCUUUUAUUUAAAGACAUUAUAGAUUUAAUAGUAAGUUGCUAAUGGAGUGUUUUAUUUUUGAACAACGUAUGUAAUUUAAUUCAUGGAGUUAAUUUAAAUCAAAAAAUAAAAAUUGAAUGGAUUUUUUAUACAAAAAAAAAAUAGGAGUCUUCUUCAAAAUAGCCUAUAGUUGAGGGGUUGAAUAUAUAUUUCCUCACUAUAAGUUCCAACACCUUUCAAGGAUCAAGGGCAAAAUCGGUAAUUAAUUUUUAAUCCCAUAAGAAUUUAACGAAGUUUACAAAUAAGGGUAGAUUUGAAAAAAUAUAUAUAUUUAGAGGGGUAAUUAUGAUAUUACUGAUUUUGUGAAGAUAUUUACGAUAUUAUUAACCUUUUGAAGGGCACUAGUGAAAUUAAUCUAUUGUAAUUUGUGUUGCAAUCUAUUCGAAAGAAUAAGCGAUCCUAAUCAAGUCUUGGCUCAUCGCACCUUGUCUAGAACUAUUAAAUAUUUUAAGCCUACUCUUCCAAGGGAAUCAAUGAUUAACCGAACCAUGGAAUGCCUUUUGCCUCCCAUCAGUUGGACUAAGAUUAAUUUUCUGAUGGUUCUCAUAAUUCUAGGGGCGGUAUUAAAGUAGCUGGCUUUAUUUUUUAUAAUUAUGAUGAUCAAUUCAUUUUUGUAGAUGCUGGGAGAUUUUGCUGUAAUUCAGUUCUUGAUGCUAAAAUGAAAGCUAGUUGGCAUGCUCUUACUAAGGCUAUUGAGCGUCAGUUAGACAUUGCCAUUUUGGAGACCGACCCGACGCUCCUGGCCAACAUCUUAACGAGGAAAACGGAGAUCCCUUAGAAGAAAAGAUCUAUCUUUACUGAUUAUUUCUAACUUUUGUACGCAUUUUGUUCCUUGUGUAUUAGUCGCAUCCCUCGCGAAUCUAAACAGGAAGCUGAUUGGCUUGUGCAUUUUGGUAGAUAUGCUAAUUGCUUUAUCUUUUGAGAGAACAGUCAUUCUCAAGACCUACAAAAUUUUUUGUUACUAGAUGCGCCAAAUUGUGUUUCCUCGCAACUGCCUACUUAACUUUUAAUAAAAGGCUAUUUCGAAAAAAAAAAAGGAAAAAUUUUUUAUCUAUGAUGUAGGGGCAUAGCACGUCGCUAAUUUAACAAAGAGGUCUAAAAAUAUAAUCAUAAGAAGAAAAAUUAUAGAAUGCUUAUUUAAAUAAAAGCUAGUAAUUAAAGCAUCAUCCUCGCAUAUCUAAUAUUCCAUCAAAGCGAUAGUAUUUUUAUAUAAAAUUUUUGUUAUUGAGAAAUUUUUGUCUGUGAAUAAUCAGUAAAUAACAACCAUAUUGACUGUAACGGCAUGACAAAUCAAUCUAACUCAUUGUGUGGUCGGAUAAUAUUUUUGUCACGCCCCGGGGCCGAUUUUAAAAGCCUUUUUAAAAUAGAGUUGCGGAAAACGUGCCAUUUUUUUUUUUUUUUUUCAACCUGGCCCACGCGACGUACANGUCAGAAGCCAACUUCUCACCGCGGCUUCUCCGGAAAAACGAGUUACUAUUCACUUUAAGUGAAAACUAAUAAUCGCGUAACUUCUCCGUUUUAGCUCAGUUUCUCCUGAAACUUGACGAGUGCUUAUGUAAUUAAAUUACACACAUAAACAUCAUCAACAGAGAGUUUAGCUACACUACAAAAAUCUCAGUCCUUACAAUUUUCUUUAGUAGUUUCAUUUAUUUAAAUCAAAUCCAAUUUGAUAUCUAGAUCUCUUUGUUUUUAACAUUUUUUUUUUGUCUUUAAGUGAAAAUGGUUGUAAGGGAUGGUAUGUAUACAUAUAAUUCUGUUUAUCCAAAAGAGAAAAGGACAAAAUAUAUUUUGCCCCCCUUGUUAAUUGGGCUAAGAAAGAAAAUAUAAAAAAAAUUAUUUUUCUUUCCCUUUAUUCUGAUUUUUGGAGGCAAGAAAAUUGACGGCUAUGAAAAAUCAUUUUCUCUUUAUUUCUCUCUAUUUUUCUUUUUUCCUCUUCUCAAAUUUUCUCUCCUAACAUCUUUUCAUUUCUCUUCUUUAAUUUCUCUUCAUGCAAACACGUAAGAGCUCUUAAUUACAUGAACUGUAGUUAAUUAUGAGUUGCUGAAUAACGGCAAAAAGAUAGCUUUCACAUAACGAAAAAUUUAGAUCGAGUUUCUUAAAUGCAGUUGCUAAAUUGCUGUACUUUAACAUUUCUUGAUCGAGAAGAAAGAAAAUUGAUUUUCAUGUAUGGAAAGAUUGUUCAAUUUUUAUUCUCUUAACUCUUCACUUUUUUUUCCUCAUAUUUAAUGCAGGCAAAAAAAAAUCAUAAAUAAAAAAUUCACUAUCUUUUUAUUAAUUUUUAAUGUUAAAUUUGCUAAUUUUUUUUAAUGAUUCAGAUCAUCAAUUUAGAUAUAUCAGCGAUGAAUUUUAAAAGUAAGGAUACAAGGCACCAAGAUAGGAUUAUGAAAGGGCCAAGACUGCUUGAAUAACCUAAUAAAGGCCUAGAUUAGAACAAUUUUUUUUUUUUUCUAUGGGCUUUAAUUUCUGAAAUUUGGGCUCGUUUAUCUGCCCAUGUGGUGCAGGCAAUCUUUACAAAUCAACAAUCUAAUUCUAUUUGGAGGUAAUUUGUAAUAUCUGAGAUAUUUGAAAUGAGUAAUUCAAAUGAAAUUGAAUUUGAAUUCAAAUUUCGAUUAUAUAUAUGGUGUGGUGUGAAUAUAUAUAUAUAUUAGAGGAGAGAGAAGAGAGAGAGAGAGAGAGAGAGAUGAAAGAGAGGAGUUCAGCUGGAAACUAUGAUAGCACCAAGCGCCUUGAUUCUACUGGUGUUCUGCCGUUAAAUUUAACUCUUUGUCUAUUUUAUUCGUUAGGAAUAUACUAUUCAACCAAUAACUCACCCAACCCUAGAAAACUUUACAUCAUCAUAACCGUACAUUUUUCAUCCAAGGGCCGAAAAUCUAAUUAGCAUCAAUAGCUUUGGUGAUAUUAAUAGUUAUUCUCUCUCUUCUCUCUCUCUCUCUCGUCUUCUCUUCUUCUCUCUCUCUCUCUCCUCUUCUAUAUAUAUAUAUGUAUAUAUAUAGAGUCCAGCAUUAUGGUGCUGUAAAAGCACAAGCAUUUGAUAUUUGUAAAUUUUUUACCGUUUAGAUCUACGCCUGUUAUCAUUUUCAACCGUUAGAUUAUGCCUAUUCAACAAGCCACUCACUCAAUCUUAGGGGGGCCCACAUCAUCCUAACUGCCAUUCUUUAAUCCAACGGCAAAAAUCUAAUACGCACCAACGACUUGUACUUUUAAAAGCAUAGAAGCUCAAUUAUAUAUAUAUAUAUAUAUAUAUAUAUAUAUAUAUAUAUAUAUAUAUAUGUGCUAGGCUACUAUACUAUUGCGUAGCACGGACGCCUCCGUGCUACCAAGUUGGUUUUCAAUGAUGCCCAGCUUCCGAAUCGACGAUCGGCUCGUUAGACUUGAUUUACACUAUUGAAAAGUAUUUGGAAAACUAAAUUUCAUAAAUUUUUCGGUACAUUUACCUAUCAAACGAGAAGUUUUAAAAUGACCGGCUCCGAAAUAAAUAUCUCAUAAAAAUAAUUGAUUAGCAGACUUGUAUUUUAAGAUCAGAGGUACUGAUCUUACUCUAAAUAGUAAAAAGAAUUUUCUAUAAAAAUUUCAUCUGAUUUGGAUUGUUUUACACCGUUAAAUUUACAAAUGCAUCACAUCUACCAUUAAAAUUAUCAAUUUUGAGACCUUUUGAUCACUAGCCAAAUGAUGUCGAAAAAUUCUGAAAUUUAAUUUCCAAAUACUUUCAAUAGUGUAGAUCAAGUCUAAUGGAGCCAUUGUCGAUUUGGAAGCCGCAUUAUCGAAAACAACUUGGUAGCACGGAGGCCUACCGAUAGUAUAGCAGCCGGACUCUAUAUAUAUAUAUAUAUAUAUAUAUAUAUAUAAAAUCUAGCUACUAUCCUAUUAAUAGGAUGGAGACCAUCGUUCUAUCAAGUCGUUCUUGAUGAUAGAGAUGCCGAAUCGAUGAUCGGAACCAUCAAAAUUGAUCUAGAGUAUUUGAUAUAUCUAGAAACUAAAUUUCAGAAAUUUUAAAAAUCAUUUACAUACUGAUCAAAGGAUCGUAAAAUCGACAAUUUUUUAUGGCCUAUCUGAGCUGUUUGCUUAUUUAACGGUGUCGAGCAAUCCAAACUGCUUGAAUUUUUUAUAGAAACUUUUUUAUACUAUUUAGAUAAUAUUUGAUAACGCUGAUUAUGAAUUGAGAAAGUCUAACAUCUAUUUUAAGAAGUUUAUUCAUUUAUGACCGUUCAUUUUUCUACUCUUCGAUAGACUUGAUAAUGAUUUUUAAAAAUUAUAAAAUUUGAUUUUUAAAUAUUAUUAUAGUGUAGAUCAAUUUCAACAGUGCUGAUUAUUAAUUUGGAGUGUCGAUCAUUCAAAACGACUUGAUAGGACAAUGAUCUCAAUCCUACUAAUAGGACAGUAGCUGGACUCUAUAUAUGUGUGUGUGUGUGUGUGUGUGUAUUGUGUGUGAAUCGAGAGAGGGUGUGGAUUUUCGUGAAUUCGUGAUCAAAUCACAUGAAACAAAAACAUGAUCUCGAAGGUUCGGUAGUGCUAAAUGCGCCAGCACAGUCCGUUCGUAAAUCUGAGGGAUGGAUUUACUGCAAUUGCGCAAAAAUUGAGAAAGGGUCAAUUGAAAAAAUUCAAAUUUCGGAAAAUUUUCCAAUAUUUUAUGUUCUGAUUUGCACAAAAACACACUUGGGGGUGUCGAUCGGUUUUCUACACGUGUUAUGAGGGGCAUGCAUGAGGUUUUUGACCCCCCUAGGGUUUUCUUCCUCCCCCCCCUCCUCCCCNUGCAAUUGCGCAAAAAUUGAGAAAGGGUCAAUUGAAAAAAUUCAAAUUUCGGAAAAUUUUCCAACAUUUUAUGUUCUGAUUUGCACAAAAACACACUUGGGGGUGUUGAUCGGUUUUCUACAUGUGUUAUGAGGGGCAUGCAUGAGGUUUUUGACCCCCCUAGGGUUUUCUUCCUUCCCCCCCCUCUUCCCCCUUUCCCCUUUCCCCCCACCCACUUGCAAACCUAGUCACGCUCACUCCUCUCUCUCUCUCAACAGUAUAUCUACCUCUUUCCCUAUACGUCACACGCCGCCACCCCCACUGGCAACCUCUUUCAGCCACCGAAGAAUCCCCCAAUCUCUUUCCUUCUCACUUUUCCUCUUUCUCCUUCUCUUCCCUUUUCCUGUUCUGUGAGCCCAAGUUGCAAGGGGACCCGAGCCUCACUUCUUUGGCUUGCCCGUGACCUCCCCAAGCUCCGGGGUCCACCCCCAACACUCCCGUGCUUUGCCAGCGCCGCCGCAAUCAUUGGUACCACACCUCAGGCAGCCCUGGGCCGAAGGGACCCGAUCUCUUCUAAGCUGUGGCCGCCGCUGCUGCCGACUCGCCGCUGACUCCCCCGGCCUUAAGCAGCCCGCUACCACCGGCCUCUGCCACCUCUGACUGUGGCCGUCACUGCUUGGCUCUCCUUUUCUCUAAGCUCUUAGUGUGCAGGCCGAGCUCCUCCAGCAGCCGCCUUGCCACUCCCCGCCGCUGGCCAAGGGGAGCACCACACUCCCACCCCCUCCACUGCCGACUCCAGCCGGAGCGUGUGCCGGCAGGUCGCCGGGAGCCGGCCAGGAGUAGAGUUGCUCCCUUCUUGGUAGUCUAGGGCUCAAAAGUGAGCCCUCUAUUAUUUUCGGUGAUCCGAGGCUCCCCGAAUCCUCUGAAGGUGAGCAUGGCAAACCUCGUCGCUCACUGAAUGCAAUACUCACCUCGGUUUCUGCCGGUAAGCCUCCGUUGCAGAGUUUUGGCUUCCCCGCUCUGGGAGCGCUUUCCGCACCGAACUUGGUGAAGCUACACAGCACUCCUCGAUUGUCGUGCGCGCCCUAGACAAUGAGCACAAUGUCUGGCACGUUGAGAUCUGUCAGCCCGUGCCUUCGCCUCGUCCUAGAGGUGCACGAUUUUCGGUAACGGCCCUAAUCAUCGCAUUAUUUUAUAUAAUAUUAUAAUUAGUUGGUGCCUUAGGGGCCAUUUUGCAAAUAUGGCAUUGUGGACUGCCUCAGGUAGCGUGUGGUCACUGUUUGUGACCCUUUGGACUUGUUGUUCAGGUUUCGAAGCCUCAUGCGCUCAGAAAUAGGGUGUCGGUGCGUUUUUCAGGAAAAUCGUUGGUAGAACGUGAUUUCGCAUCAUGAUGGGUCUUCGUUUGCAUGGUUGCCUAGAAAUCAUUGCCAAGCCUUGUUGGCAACCCACCAUGGUCGCCUCGUGUGUUCAGAGGUGACCAAUAAACGGCGGAGGCUUCCGGUGCCAAAGUGGACACUUCCGGAAGCUCGGUUGUGAAUGAUCGAUCAGUGACGACCGAGUUGACUUGGAGGCUUGUGUUUGCUAUCUGGACCCCCAAAUAGGUGUGUUUCAGGACAGCGGGUGACUCCCUGUGUGAAUCGGUGCCUUUAGGGACAUUUUGUGGGUCUCGAGGGCAUCCCGAUGCAUUUUUGGGAUUCCCGGCAAGUUCGGGGAUCGAUUUUGGGAAACCGAUUCCAUGGGUGGUAUUCGGUUCGUGAGCGAUGUGUUUUGAGUCUUGCGGAUUAGAUACUAACUCGGUGGACCUGUCCUAGGUCCGGUCGGCAUGCCUCGCCUUGCAGGAAUACUUGAUCCGAAGUCCGUUCAGUAGUGCAUACUCGGUGAUGUUCCUUUCAUCCCUACUUUUUACUGCUUAUAUAUAUGCAUAUCCUGUACUUGAGCUCUUCACCACAUGACUUCGAUCCUAGCUCUACUCAGUAUACUCUCCCGCUUGCCAUGACAUAGAAGUAGAGCGGUAGUGACACUUGCAUUUGUAUAUUCUGAUUGACCUAAGUGUUUGGUGCCCGUAUACUUAUGAUGUUAUUUAUCUCAUACUUUCUAGUUGAUCUAAGUGGUCGGUACUUGCAUACUUGAGAGGAUGUUGAGCUUGUCCAUCCUAGUUGACCUGAGUGUUCGAUACUUGCGUUCCCGUACAACUUUGAUGAUCUGUUGGUCGGUGUGCCCCGAAGGGCGGUGAUUGUCAGCCAUUUGCCAACGGUUGGCUAUUGAUUAUAUUCGCAUCGAUCGCCAAAGCUCGACAUCAUUUCACGAACACCGAUAGUCUGAUCCACCGCAAGAGGGUAUUCUUUUUUGAAAAAGUGGUUGGUUGCCAAUCUAGAGCUCAGCAGCCAUUUGCUAGGGUUAUAUGCCAGAUAGAGCGGUUAUGGCUUGCCUGAAAUUCUCAGACCGACACAGAGGUAUAGAUUAGGUACAUUUGAACCUUUCGUUCGGUUGAUGUAUAUAGCUACGGUAGCGGUUGUUGCAUGCUUACUUACAGUUCUUCUCUCUUUACAUUUACAUUGUUACUGUAGGUCUUUCUUUACUUAUACUUGGUUACCAAUGAGUAUGUUGCCUUCGUCGGCUUGUGGUACCCCGUGGGAGACCCUCGUUGGUUUCUCAUCCCUAUUUCUCCACAGGUGAUGCGGGUAGGAUUGGUCUGGAUGCAGUGUUAGGCUGUAGUUAAUAGGUGGUCUUAGAGGUCACGAUCUACGGUAUACAUUUUGACUAUACUUCAUACUUAGCAUAGACAUAUAUAUGAUAGUAUAGUUUACCCCUACACUUGAUAGCAAACAUGUAUUUGUGGUUCAGUGUCAUUAUACUUGCAGGUUUUUGGAUUAUAUACCUAUGAGGUUUUUGGAUGCUUGUAAUUUUGAAAAUCUUGUGGCUUCAGUUAUGGUUUUUCGAACGUGAUUUUCUACCCCUCAUGAUGGUGUUAUCAAAAUAAAGGUCCUCGGGUGGGGGACGGUUUUCAAAUAUUUUUCGCAAUUUUUCGUUGAAGUUAGAUUUUCAAAUGAAGUCUCCGUGUGGGGGACAUUUCCUACUAAUAGGAAUGACUUAAUGGAUGUGAAUGGAUGUGACUAAGUGCCGUUAGUUGUAUGUUGGUAAUUGAUGACCCUUGUUUAUCCUAUAAUAUUGUGUGUGUGAGUGGAGGUCUGGUUGCUAGUUGUAUAUAAGCUACGCCGUGCAAAUACAGGAAAGACUUUGUUUGUUUGUUUUGAAAAUUCUCUAUAUUUGUGGUAGGUCUAUUGCUCCCUUAGGGGUCAAGGUUUUUGAAAAAAAAAAAAAAGGCGGUUUUUCACUUACUCUGAUUUAUAAAGAUAGCCCGAUUUCGAACUGGCUUUCAAAAUGGACCCCGGGCGUGACAUAAUUGUUUAUAUAUCAUUGAAAAGUUUUAGAUUUUUUAUUUACCCUGUUUAGAAGGUUAACAUAAUAUACUCUUUUAAUGUUCCAAAAUUUUUUAAAAUAUACCUCUAAAGUUAAAUUUUGUUAGUAACAACUGAUAUCUAUAUAUAAAAUUAUUAUUCUAUCCUUUCAAAAAUAUAUUUUUACUGUCACCAACUUUUUUUAUUUACCUUUUAAAUAUAUAUCCUUUUAGGGCCCGUUUGGUUCGAGUUAUGUAAUAUUACAAAGUAUCUCGACAUAUCCAGAUAUCUUAGAUUUCGGCAUCAGAUUACUACUGAUGCUGUAUUAGCGCGUUUGGUUUAAUGCAGUAAUGUAAUACUAGAUUACAGUGCUUAUAGCAUUAAUAUGUUUGGUUCAGUUAUAAAAUUUAGUAAUCCUGACAUAAAAGUAUAGUUUUUUUCAAAAUUACCCUUGUUGUGGUCAUUUGAAUAUUAUUUUUUGCAGAAAUGACGAAUGGAGGGAAGGAGAUCGUGAUGAUUACCUGGGAGGACGACGCAAUAGAAGAUGAUAGGUGUUCAUGCGAGAGAGAGAGAGAGAGAGAGAGAGAGAGAGAGAGAGAGAGAGACGUCGAGAGAGAGAGAGAGCGAGAGAAAGUGGCGUACGAGAGAGAGGGGGGAAGACGAGAGAGAGAUGAAAAUAAUGCUAUUAAUUAGAUUUGGGGUUGUUGGAGGGUGAAAUUGUCAUUUUAUAUAAUAUGUAGUAUUAACGGGUUUCAGUAAUGCAAGAUACACGACCCCCCUCCCGUUAAUAUUUUCGAUGUAAUCCUGCUCGAUUUGUAAUGCUACAUUAACGACUAGAUUACAUAGCGGAUUAACCAAACACAGUUAUCCUGGCAGGAUUGCCUGUAAUCCUGCCAGGAUAACUCGAACCAAACGCACCCUACUGUCAUCAACCUUUUUUAACUCUAUAGAAAUUUAAUCCGGAUUUAAUCCGAAAUGACUUAAUAGAUACUAACAGCAAGAUUAUUUUUAAAUAAUGGAGAAAUAUACGAGGGGUAUAUUUGAAAUAAAAAAGAAGGGUAAACUAAGAUGUUUCAAAAAUUUUGAAGAGUACAGAAGUAAUUAAUUAUCCUUUCUAUUCAGUUAAUUUGUGUUGGCCCAUCGAUAACAUAUAAUGGUCGUUUGGUUUGACAUAGCUAUAAAUACUACAUUGAUGGGAGAUACAUACAGUUCGAGAUGUGAUAAUUAUUUUUGCAUCUACUUCAUGUGUUGACAUGCAAUUGAGAAUACAAUUAUGAAUUUCUUGUUUGAUUCCUCACAGUUAAAACUUCAAUUUGCUUAUUUCACUAGUACGGUGAGAUUAGCCCUAAGAAAUAGAGAUUUAUCUUUCUUUUUUGCUGAUGAUGAGAGUGAGUAGGUAAGGUUGCCUCUUAUAGAAAAUUAUUCUCUCCAAUAAUUGCAUCUUGAAACCGACCGUUCCUAAAGCAAGUGACAAAAGGGCUUGAUAGUUGGUACCCGAGACCUAAGAUCGAAUCCUAGUUGAUUCACAUUUCUAGCUAAGUUUAUUUCUAAAUAAAAUAAACGAAGCGGAUAGCGUGCUAUCUAUCUCUCAAAAAAAAAAAAAAAACAAUUGCAUCUUCCACUACAUUUGGUUUGGGCCCAGGUGCAACAGUUAGGCCUCAACUGUAGGUUCAAUUGCAGUACAUAGAUCUCCAACUAAGUUUGGUUGACCCUAUUUCGAAAUGUAAUAGUUAAGCCUCCAUCUGGAGGUUCAAUUGCAGUAUGUAGAUGCAUAUAUAUGUAACGAACCAAACAAAACUUUGAGAUUUAACCAGAUAGUUGCACUUACAAUGUGUCUUUAGUUGCAAACAACUAAAGAGUUAACACCCGCGGAGAUAUGCUUUUUGUUUUCGUGUUGUGAUCCUAAAGAUUAUAUCAUAACCGUAAUCUAUACAACGGAUAUCUUUUACAAAAAUAAAUAGAAUAUUUUCCAUUGACGCUUUAUACAUUCUUCCUAUAAUCCUAAAUAGAGCCUGAACAUGCUUUCAUUAAUGCACGACAAAUUAGAAAAAAAAAAACUCUAUUUUUUUCUGCACGCGAUGAGCACAAGAUUAUAUAGAAACUAAAUUUUAAAUUUUCAAAAGUUUCCAAAUAAUUUUAAGAAUUUUUUUUAAUAAUUUUAGAAUUUUAAUUCAUUUUAGAAAUUGGGAAGAAAUAUUAGGAAAUAACUAAUAAAUGGAUAAAAUUACGCAAAUUUUAAGAAAAUUAGAAAAUAAAAUUUAGAAUAGAAAUAAGAGAGAAAUAAAGAAAAGAAAGAAAUAGGAGGAAGCGAAAAAAAAGUUAGAAUUUUAAAGAAAAAUAAAUAUUGGCCAGCACACAUAGCAAUAGAAAAAAGAAGAAGAAGAAGAUAACACUAUGAUUGUAAUAACCGAUCCAUUAAGAUUAAUUUGGAUUAAUUAAAUUAUAUUUGGAUUUAAUUCAGAUUUAAAUCGCUUAGAGAUGGAAAACCUAUUGGGACUAGGAGAAUUAAAGUUUAUAAAUAAGGAUAGAGGGGUUAAGCCUACAAUUAAAAAAAAAAAAAAUCUAAAACCUUAAAAAAAAAGAGAAAAGCUAAUAGAAAAUAUAUUAGAAUUACCAUCGUGGGGAAGAAGAAGAUGGGAAGAGUUAAUUCACAUUUUGGGUGAUCUGGGUUAACUACAGAUCAUAUAACUAGUUUUGCAGAUGAUUAAAAUUAAAUAGAUCUUGAUUAUGCAUUUGAUGAAAUAAUGCGAAUAGAAAAUAUGACAAUAUUUAUAUAUUCUUUUAUUACAAAUUCUUGAUAAUAUUUUUCAGACUAAAAUUAUGUGAGAAAACAACUGCGUGGAAUGGGCUAUUUUACAGUUUCACGGGAAUUCAGGGAUAAAAAUGUAAAUUGGUUGUAACUUUUGUAUUUUAACUCCGAUUUACACGAUUUUUGCGGCGAUGGGUUUCUGGCAAAUAAUCCUACGAUGCCUUAAGCUUUUGUUUUGGGAUUCAUAAUUUAUUAUAUCGCAAACUUAAAUGUUCAAUGAUGGAUCUAAUGACUAAUUAGUGGUUUUGGGAUUCAUUUGCCGUAAAUUAAUAUGUCUUGGGACAUUAUUGGGACAGCAGGACAGGUAUUGAUAUAUGAUAAUUAGAAACUGAAAUUGAAGACCUGAUACAUUUAUUGUUAUAAUUUGAGACUAUAUAUUACGCAUGCAUAUACUUUAUUAUUAUUUAUAUUAUUGGACAUGAAAAUAUAAAAUUGGAAAAAAUCAAUAAAAUUAAAUAGAAAUAACUAUCAAUUGAUAGUGAUUUCGGAACGUGUGUAACAUGACAUUCGUUUUUGGGACUCUCAUGAUUUGUAUGUGCAAUAUUAAAGUUAUUAAUUUUUGGACUACGCGUGAGAACACGCUCAAUAAGACUUAUUAUAUUUGGAGCUCCCAGGAUUUAUAUUCACGCACUACUGAAGCUCAGCAAAUGAAAGGCAUGUGAAUCGAAGCUCAGCAAAUGAAAGGCAUGUGAAUCGAAAAUUAUUAAAUAAGCAGGACUCUUUUAUACUUUGUUUGGUUCGGGGUUAAGGGGGGGAUAAUAGCACUACUGAAGCUCAGCAAAUGAAAGGAAUGUGAAUCGAAAAUUAUUAAAUAAGCGGGACUCUUACACUUUGUUUGGUUUGGGGUUAAGAGGGGGAUAAUCCCCCGCCCCCGCUCUUAAUCCUAAACAAAAAAUUGUAGAGGUGGGGUUAACAAACCCCACCCCUAUCGGGUUAUCCCAGGAUAAUCCGGUGCCCCCUGCCCCCUUGUUCGUUUGGGAUUAAGUUCGGGGUUAAGGGGUUAUUCCCCCCUUAACCCAGAACUUAAUCCCAAACACAAAUUUGUAGCUAUCGGGUUAUCCUGGGAUAACCCGAUAGGGGUGGGGUUUGUUAACCCCACCCCCUGUCAGAGCCCGCGACCGCCCAUUUGGUCGGCUUUGGCUUGCCAACAGUCGCCGAGCGGACAGAGUCUUCUCCGUCCGCCUAAGGCUAACAACAAGGUCAUGUACAUCAAGUUGCCCAGGUAACUUAAACAACAUACAUGAACAUUGCGAGUAUAAUAAGCAAGUACUACACAAGCAAUACAAAAGAGAGAGUUCUAACUAUUACAUUUCAUUCAACCAUUUUACAUGUUUCCAUUCAUUAUAUAUCAUUAAUUUACUCCUUGCAUCAAAUAGAUACAUCAUUCAUCUCGCAAUACAUGUACAUCAUAAGCGACCUCACCAAAAUACAUAAAGUCUCUCUCUACCAAUAUACAUCCAUGUAACAAAAUGGUAACGACUCUAAUGUAUAAAGGAGGUAGCUAUCUAGUUAGGGCGCUAUGCUCUUACCGCGGUCCUCUACCUGUCCGCAUGUGCUCGGUCCUGGAACAAAGUAGGAUGAGAACUAAUAAAUAGUUCCCAGUGGGUUCGGCUACCGACGCCGCCGAUUUUCCCACUAGGUCUAAGCAGGUAUAAGUAGAAAAGGGUUAGUGAUAAAACAAUACUCUAGCAUGCUACUAUGCCUCGCAAUAUGAACAAUAAAGAGCAGGUAAGGUAAACAAAUAAUAAUAUCUACUAUGUUCAUGAUGCAUGUUCAUUACAUGUAUUUCCAUAACUCAAUCCUGCCGGCCCACCCGAAGGCCAAGCCCCGACUCACACAACCAACCCCGCAUUGUGAGGAGACGUCCGCUACUCUCACCCGGAGCCGUCUACGGGACAAUUACGUUUGCCCUUAACCGUGAAGUACUUCGAAGACCACAGCUUGGGUGGAGUUACCACUGCCAAGCUAACAGACGAAUGUGAGCAUGAUCCAAUUCUCUAGCCCGAGGAUAACCUACCAACUAAUGGUAAUCAAAUCUGGGAACAACACCGAUCCCAAACUCAUAUCCGAGUAAUCACAUUGCCUCUAGCUAAUGCCACAAUGUCAAGUUUAUCUCUAGCUAAUGCCACAAAGUCAUCUUUGUCUCUAGCUAAUGCCACAUAUUCUUGAAUCUUACAUUUUCUCUCUAUCGAAGCCCGAUGUUCAAGUUCUUUAUCAUGCCACUAUAGAGCCAUUUGUCCAUAUCCAAUCCCCAUUUCAUAUAACACUAUGUUCUAUCUCAUACACAUAUAGAUAUACAUCAAUCUCAUGAUAGCAAGUAAGGAAAGGAAUAAUGACAUCCUACUCUAUGAUGCAUGAAGCUACAUGAACAAUAAUGGCCAAAGAAGCAACUAAGACAUAGAAAGAAAUCCGGAUGUUCCGGAUUGCACCCCCCACCUCUAAAUAGUUCCAAGGUGCGAGAAUCCUAGUUUCGUAAUUUUUUAACGCCGCCUCGGCUCUCCAGGCAAAAACGAAGUCGAAACCGUUAUUUUUUUCUAAUAUCUUCGCGUAGCCUCGUCGGAUUGCCGAACCGAGGCCACCAAUGCGUCAGAAUAUCUAGCAAUUAGGUUUAUAUGGGUUCAAUUUAGAUCAAACCCAAGCUUAGAACAAAACCAUAUUUCUAUGCCCUAGAAUCUACCAUUUGCAAGAAUAUACUAAACAAAGCUAUAAUUCAAGCAAAUAACAUCUAAUUAGCAUCUAGAGUUUCAUCUAAACCUAUUCCUAGAGUAUUUAAUCUAAACCCUAAGUAAUCACCAUGAGAGGUCUUGGAGCCCACCUCAAAAGCUUUCUCCACUAGCCAAGGAAGAAGGAGGAGAUGAAGCUUCACCUUCUAGCACCUUCCUCCACCAAUUUCUCCUCUUGAAUCCACCCUAGGAGAGAGAGGGAGAGAGCUUAGGUUUAGGUUACAAAUGGGGAAAUGAGAGGAGGAAGAUGAGACCUCACCCCUAUAACCCCACGUAAGUGCAAAAUUGCACAAAACCCCCCAAUGAAGCCAAGUUAUGCACUGCCCCGCACUGGGCUUUUUCGGCUACGGGGUCCGGACCCUAGCUGCGAAAUUUUCCAGAUUUGCUCUCCUCAAUGCCUACAAGGGUCCUACAUACCCCUAAAGCCAUUUCGACGCAUUCGAACUUUUCGAAGCGUCCCGAAGCGAACAACUCCGCACUUUGGUCAAUUCCGACUAAAGUUCGGAUUUGCACGUACCGAGGAUCUAGUAUCUUACACCCCCUCUAGAAUAGGACUUAGCCCGCCCCCUCCCCAAAAAAAAAAAUCCUGCAUAGCUACUGUUUACUACCUUGCCCCCAAAAUACCCUGCGUAGCUAUUGUUCACCCCCAUUCAUCUCUUUUUCUUUCCCCGAAAACAUCAUCCCCUCUCCUCAUCGUCGUUGGUCGUAAGGGCUUCCCCUCCGGCCGAAGCGAUUGGUCGUAAGGGCUUCACCUCGUCGCCAUCGGUCGUAAGGGCUUCACCUGCCCUGAAAAACUCGUCCUCCCUCCUCGUCGCCGUUGGUCGUAAGGGCUUCACCUCCAACUGAAGUGAUUACUACUUCCUUCUCCUCGUUUCGGCUAAACCCACAUAUCCGGAUCUAGUAGGUCUGGAUAGAUCUGUGCCGGUCUUCACCUGCGAUUUGGGGGUUUCCUCUUGGUCUCAGUUUAAGGCUUUUCCUCCAUUUCCGUCGCUGUCGGGGAGGCUUCGUGCUGCAACCCUUCUUGCUCUUCGACUCAUAUCUUGCCAACUCUUUUGCUUUUCAUUCACCCGCAUUGUUUGGCCCCGCUCCUUGUUUUGGCCGAACCCUAUUUUGGGACUUCAUUGACCGAGGUUGCCCUGUGCUUCUUGAUAUUUUGUCGCAGUUCCUUUGAGCUUGAUCUUUUUACUAUAAUCAUGUUUGAUAUCCAUGGUUACAUUUUAGCUAACUUCUCUAUUUAUCCAAUGCCGCUAAAACAAAAGAAUAUCUUUGCACGUUGGUGGCGAUAAUGAAGAUGAUGAAUAUUAGUAGAUCUUAUCAUACUCGUGUCACGCCUCGGGGCCCAAAAUAGUACCUUUUUACAAAUCAGAGUUGCAAAAAUAUAUAUAUAUAUAUAUAUUUUGUGAAACAGCCUGGCCCAUGUGACGCACAGACCUGUCACAAAUACAAAGUUUUCCUGCCUAUACGGACAGAGUCUCCUUUAUAUUUGUACGGCGUACCCCACGAUAACAACAACCUGAUCACAACAACAAUCUACAUUCACCAAUCUACAAGCAAUAGAUGUGAUGUAAUUUCAUACAGCUAGCCAUCCUUAAAGAUGACGUAUGCUUCUAAACACUCCUUAGUCGCUGGAUGAUGCGAUGCACAAUACAACAAUCAUCUUAUCUAAAAGUGCUUCCCACUCGGAAGCUUUAUUUUUAAACUCUAUUUGUAUAUCCAUAAAAACCAUUCAAAAAUUUUUUAAAACUGUUUUCUACACAGAAACUCAAUCUUUGAAUACCAAUUACUCCGAUGGGUAGAAACCACAAGGCAUGAUCCAUAAAUCUAAGUGCUAAAGCUUCAUAAAACGUCGAUUGCAUACAUAAUAGAAAACACCAACUCAUACAAUUUCAUGAUUAUUCAAGCAAUAACAAUGAUCAUCUCACCGAACCAUUUCAUUAUUUAAACUACUAAAUGCGGAAAGAAAAAUAAUCAGGGUGACGACCGCUACUACAGCCUAGCUGGGACGUCCUUCUGUCGCGCCAAGAACCAACUCAUCGCUUAUGCCACCUGGAAAAACGGGGAUGAGAAACCACAACAAGGUUUUCCAGUGGGUACGACAGAACCAUGAAGGCAAAUCAUAUUCACUGAAAAAUAAAGGAGAUAGAACAAUAGAUAGGUAUACACAAUAAGACAUGAUACGUAAGUAAACAACAGUAGUAAUAACAGAACAGUAAAUGAGGAAGAAAUAAAGCUAUUACUGUGUCAGAACCUCAACUGAAAGGAUGCCUCAAGGGUAACUAAUCCACAUCAACCCAAUCUGGUACUUGCCUUAUUGGUCCGCAGACCUAAGUGUUGGCUAUCACAGUGCAUACACUGACCUGAUUUACGCGUCCACUGACGACCCAUACGGAUAAGUACACCUCUUGGUUAGCAGCCAAACCGACUGGUGUCUAGAAUACACACAGUGCUGUGACUAAAUCAUGCUGAUAUGCUCAAUGCAAAAACCGACAGAAAAUCGAUGCCUUGGCCGAAACCAAAUACAAGGGCAUACAACACGGAACCAUGAUCAACUAGAUUGAAACACCCGACAAAAGAAUCGAUAUGCUGCCUAGACCCGAGGUCCACAAAUAUACCAUAUAUGUAAGCCUGGUCUACAUGUCUACCAACAACUAUCACCAUGCAACUAUCAAGAUAUAGAUAAACGAACGAUAAAUAAAGGUAACCAACAUGUAUAGACAAAAAUACUACUAUGCAAGUGCAAUAGCAGGGAAGAGGAAAGUGAAACGAUCUCACCGACUAUCAGCUCGAAGCACCCACCUGUAUCGUACGAAGUACACAGGUUGUCGACCGCUUGCUGCUGCCUUCCGCUAUCACCCGAACCUAUGCAUAGUCGCAACGAAGCCAUAAUUAGCCUAACCCAAUAACUACCCAUAAGCCUAAAACUCUAAGUGAGUAUAACCGUUGGACAAUCGAAUUUUCGAAUUUCGACUUAAAGUCACCGGAAGAUAGCCCGAUUGUUGCACUAACUCGACAGAAUGUGGCACCAACCCAUGAGGCGAUCUGUAGUAAGUCCCAAAGCUAUCCUAUACUGCCCGCUGUCCCAAAGCAUCGCUUUAAUGCCCUUGGGAUAGCCGCACAGUAAGUGCGCUAAAAUGGGGAAAGUCAGGGUUUGGAAGCUUGUCGGUCGACUUCCGGGAUGUCGUAUUUGGUCCCAGAGUCCACCAUCACCUUCAUGCUGUGAUUCAGGGUGUCUAACCUCACUCCAGCGCUCAGCAACUCAGCCAUAACCCUGCUGCAACCAACAGCAACGAAUACGACGUGAGGUCACACCCGAAACCGCCCGAAAUUCGCGUUAUUGAGCCCCGUUGAGCCCCGAAACAUGCUGAAAUGUUCCAUAUUUAAUCCUACAUUAUUUGCUAUCCUGAAACACUUGUCUCUAGGUGCCAGAACUGUGGCACAUCAUUUGGUGCAAGAGCGAUUGAUUCUAUGUGGCUUAUGUCGCGACCGAAGUCCCGAUUGUUGCCGUUUUGGCUUCGGAAGCCCCCGAAUUGCAAAGCGUUGAUUCGUAAGUCUCGAGGGCUCAUUAACGACAGCACACGAAGUGUUACUCUCACUGUGACCAGCACCAACACGAAUCCCACAACCGGAGCCAAAAACGAGGCUCCGACGGCACAAACAAUGACGAUAUAAGCGCCAAUCGCCCUGUUAAUCGAACCACGAGGUUCACGGGGAUCGGAUAAUGAACAAGGACAAAAAUAUUUUAGUAUGUAUGCUGCCCAUAGCAGCUACGAUGCGAAAGCAUCGCUGUGAUGCAAAUGCAAACACAAACGCACGACUACGAUCUCAAACGUGCGAUAGUCUUCGACAACUACGAGUUCAGAGCCUUACCGCUGUUCCAGAGGCUUCAAAAACAUAGCGAAGAUGAGAUACACAUGAUUCUAAGGUGUUGGACUCCCUCCUUGACAGCCCAAGCGAGGUUCAAAAGCAAGUCGGGGAAGGUUGCAGCAGGUCGGGGAGGUUCAGAGGGAGGAUUUGGCGACGUCCAAAAGCAGCUGGCGCCGCGCCCUAGCUGGUGCGAUCAACCCUCAAUGCUGGACCCAAGCCAAUGCAACCAUGGGCAAGGUCGGUCCAAGGGUUCGAGGGCGCUGUGCUGGGAUGAAGCAAGGGCCGAGGGAGAUCCUCCAAUCCUCCAACUACCAAACUGAGAGAGAGAAGAAGGUGACAGGACCGUUGGGAUCGAAGAUUGUGCGAGGGGGAGAGAGAGGGUGUGGGUUCUCCCUCUCACCAAUGCUCUGGCGUGUGGGGUGGCCGACCACCGGCCAAGGGGCUGCGGCUGAAGCUGCUGUGAGGAGGAGGGUGCGGUAGGGAGAGAGGGCUUAGGAGGCUAGGGUUAGGGUUAGGAUAAUCCAAACCCUAGCCUCACACAAUCAUGCAUGCAAUUUCAUGCGAAAUUGCACGUAACUCCCACUGAUGAUAAAAUUUCGUAGCAAGUCCCUCACAUGAGAUAAAACUUGCAUAAGAUGAAACUCGCAUAAAAGUCUCUCCACAAUCAAUCCCAUUAAAAAACGUUCAUAAAAUACUAGGUUUACACUUCCGAAACCUAACUUGCGCAUUACUGAAAUAUCAUAAUCUGCCAAUUUUUUCUAUGCUCAAGUUGUUGAAUCCAAAAUCCAACUUCACCAUGUGUCUCAGCACUUUCGGACCAUCGAAAAUGACCUAUUGGAUUGAUCAAAACGAUGCCCGAUUCGCAUCCGAAGCUAAUGUUAUGUGUACGCUACCAAACGAAAUGUCGAUUACUAUUCACUUAAGUUAAAAUUGAAAAUCGCGUAGCAGUUUCAUUUUAAUUUAUUUUUUGCUGAAAUUUGGAAUGUGAUUUUUGAAUUAAAAUACACAUGAUAACAUUAAAAGGUAUCCAAUUUACAUAGAAAAAAAUUUCUCAGUCCUCACAACUUGAGAAUAUUCUGUUUCAUAUUGAAUAUUGGUAUGAUAUUUAUGAUUGAUUUCGUGUUAUGUUAGGCACUUUAAUUACAGAUAGGGCUGGCAAACGAGCGAGCCGGCUCGCGUUCGACUCGUGUUCGGCUCGAUAUUCGGCUCGCUCGAGCUCGACUCGAAAUUAAAUGAGCCGAGCUUGAACAAAAUAAAAGGCUCGAAAUUCAUUUCAAGCCGAGCUUGAGUAUUACUCGGCUCGUUCGAAUUAGGCUCGAAAAGCCUGAUUAUAUAUAUAUCUAUUAUAUACUAUAUUAAUUAAAUAUUUAUUCAUAAUAUAUAUAUAAGAGUUGAGAUAUGUACUUUUAAAGGUAUCACUCAUAUACUAUUAUCGUUUUAAGCCAUUGGAUCUAUUUUAUUGAUUAAUAUAAUGGCCCUUUGUGAUUAAACACGUAUUCCACCUACCACCCUACCACCUACCUAUCAUAUCUCAACCUGCAAUUCUCCACGAAGGCUUCUAAAAACACAAAAGUAUCACCCAUUAUAAUUUUACCAAGGUUAUUCUACCCUACUCAUAUAUAAUAUAUAUAUAUAAUGUAUUUUAUUAUAUAUAGUUUAAUUUAAUUUGGGCAAUUUAAUUGUUGGCGAUAAAAUAAACCCAACAAGUUACAACCGGAUGCAAGUUAGAACCAAAUCUAAAUUACAUAACACACUUUCUUUCAUACUUGCAACUAUUAACAUAAACAAAAAUAUGAUACAUUCAAAUUUCAAUCCUAAUUUCCCCCCUCUCUCUCUCUCUCUCGUCUUUCUCUCUCUAGCCACUUCACCCAGUAGAGCAGUCACCCUAUCUAAUUUCUUGCAAUUAUUUUUGUUAUUUUGAACUAUUGACAUAUUGCAUAAAUUGUUGGUAAUGUUCUAUAAAAUUCUAACUAUUGAUUAUUUGUCGGAGAAUUUCAAGCAGCUCGUUUAGGGCUCGAGCUCGCUCGACUCGAAGUUAGGCUCGCUCAAGCUUGGCUCGAAUUAAUUUCAAGCCAAGCUUGAGCCUAGAUUUAGGCUCGAAAUUAAUUUCAAGCCGAAUUUGAGUUGACAUAAGCUCGCUCGAGCUCGGCUCGUUUCCACCCCUAAUUACAGAGUUCAUACAUUUUUAUCUAAAUAAAUUAUAUAAUUUUUAUCGAUUAAAUAGAUCUCUAAUGUGAAAGGUUUGCAUAGAAACUAAAUAAUAUAUAGAAAAAAAUAUUCUAAGAAGAUUUUAUUAACUAAUAAUGUUUUGAAUGCUGUUUGAUUCUAAAUUUUGUUUAGAUUAUUUUUAAUAUGUAAAUUGUUAAAUACUUCAUCAGUCUUUUAUUAGCAAAAAAUAUUGGGGAGCUGAUUUAUAAAUGGCUUAAAGAUUGAGGGCCUUCAGACAUUUUUUUAUCAUAAUAAAUGGUAUGAUUUGUAUUCAUUAAAAAGUAUCACGUAUAAAAGCCUUUGAAUGCAAAAUAAAAUAGUAUGAAUGGUAUGACCUAAAUUAUUUUUUGUAUAAAAGAUUUUCAUGACUUAAAUAAUUUUUGGCAUGGUUUAUACCAUUAAAGGAAUUUCAGUAUAAAUGUUAUUUUUGGCUCCCAAAAGUGGCUCUCUUAUCAGUAGUAUAAAAGAAAAUUUUUUAUAGCCAAAUGCAGAGAUCUAAAAUUUAAUUUAUCUGUAUAAUCAAUUGGAUAAUAACUUUUUUACUAUCUUAUGCAAAUAUAAUAAAAUUAUUAAAUUAUAAAUAUUCACUAAUAAUUUAUUUAAAAAUUAUAUAUUACAUAUCAAUCAUGUCCAAUCUUAAUUAUUUUAAAAAAUUAUAUUUUUUAUUUUUUAAAUAUAUAAACUGCAUUACACAUGCACUCUACUAGUAUCAACAAAAAGGAGAGUGAGAGGUCAAUGAGGUCCCAUGGUGGACCUCUCACUCAUUUUUUCCCAAUGCCGUGCGCUGCGAUUUUCAUCGCCCUCGCCCCUCCUCUUUUCCCCUUUGCUCACUCCAUCUCCAUGGUUUCUUCAAAAUAGAACAAGCAAAAUUGCUUGACUACUCGGAGGAGGUGCACGGAUCUGCGGAGCGGUGGUCGCGCAACGCGGGUCCGAGAAAUUUCAUCUUUCCACGGCCGCCCAAUUCAAAUUUUUUUAAAAAGUUUCAUCUUUCCACAUCCGCACAAUCCGAAUUUUUCGGAAUGUAAUUCGGAGAAACCGUUUUGAUAGCGAAUAUUUUGAGCAAGAAAAAAAAAGCGUUUUAUUCCGAUCUUUUUGAAAAAAUUCGUAGACGGUGUUUUACGUUGGCCAAUUGUUCGUCAAUAAUUUUCGUAUUAUACGUGAAUUAACUAACUAAGGCCAAAUACGAACGAGCUGAGCGUAACUAGUGUUUGACUCAUUUAUUAAACGAGCUAAAAUAUUUUACUCGCUUUUAGCUCAUGUACUACUGAGGUAUUCAAUCUCGAACUUAAAACUUAUUUCGAACCAAAGAGCGAGGUUAUCACUGCCAUCCUUGGGGAUAACAUUGCUUAAAACCAAAACACCACGGCUCUCAGGAAAAAAAAAAAAAAAAAAAAAAGAAAAAAAGAAGAAGAAGAAAGGAGGCGGGGAGAGCGAGACAGCUGGCUUCCGGUAUUGGAUAUGUCGUCACGCACAUGAAUGGCUCAGAAAAGGUCGAGCAAGAGCUUCUGGACCACCGCAAACUUCCAAAAUGUCAUUUUUCUAUUGAAUUCUAAUACUAUAAUAAUGAACAAAAGUUUCUAUUGAAUCGAAAUUGAAAACUUCGUAUACGUAUCUAUUAUAUCAUGAUAGGAAAUUAAAUAUCAAACAUAUCACAAUCACAAUCAAAUUAUAAAAAGCUAAAUUUUAUUUUAUCAUAACUUAUCAUUCAAGUCAUAAAACAUGAAUUAUAUGUGUGAGGCUACGAUACUUUUGGAAGCACGUGACCUUCCGUGCUUUCAGAUCGUUUUCAUGUUGCGACUUUAUCUAGAAUAUUUGAAAUAUCUAUAAAAUAAAUUUUAUGAUUUUUCGAUAUCAUUUGCCUAGUGAUCGAAGGGCUCAAAAUUAAUAAUUUUAAUGGCCGUAGUGAGCCGAUUGCAAGUUUAACGGUGUAGAAAUAUUCAAAUCACAUGAAAUUUUGAUAGAAAAUUCUUUAUACUAUCUAAAACAAGAUCAAUAUCUUUUAUCUAAAAUUUUAAUGUUAUAUUAUCACGUUUUAUAUGAUUUUUAUUUUCAGCCAUUGAUUUGAGCCCCUUCGUUCACUAGGCAAAUAAUAUUAAAAAAUCGCAUAAUUUAUUUUCUAGGUACUUCAAAUACUCUAGAUCAAGUUUAACAGAGCCGACCGACGAUUCGAAAGUCGCAACAUAAAAAACGACCUGAAAGCACGGAAGGCUUCGUGCUUUCAGAAUCAUAGUAGCCUCAUUCGAAUUAUAUUUAUAACCGUUAAAAUAUAUUCCUACUCUAAAUUCUAUUUUGAAUAAAAUCUCAAGACUUUAGGAAUUUUCCUAGUAUCCGUAUACCUGUUCCUAAUCCGAAACUUUCAAGAUUAUAUUCCUAACUUUUAUAAAUUUAUUCUAUAUAAAAAAAUCUAAUUUUUUUUUAAAAAAUAAAAAAAUUAAUAAAAACAACAAUUUCAGCUAAGGUUAUAUUUAGCUAAAUACAUUUCUAAAAAAAAAAGAACUAAUUAAGCAGGUACAUUGUUAACUUCCUGUCAAAAAAAAUCCAAAAUUUUAAAAAAUGAAAUUAAAAUAAAUUCGGAUCAUAUUCUUGUUUGGAUCACCAUUUAGAAUUCUAAUCAGAUUUUAAAAAAAGAUAAAUUUUACACUAUUUAUUCUAGAAUUUAAAAAAUUAUUUAAAUUCUUAAUGUAAAACAAAUGACAAGACAACGGAGCCAAUAUGAGUCUUUGGAUUAAGGGUUGAAGAUUUGCACCUCAAUUUAGGUGUACACGUAUAAUUAAUUGUUCAUGCCAAAAUAAAAUAAUUCAUGUGCAUGAUAUAAAUUUUAUAUCUCUACAUUCAAGGAUUGAUAAAGCGUUUUUAAAAUUUUAGCAAACAAAAAUUUUAAUAAUACAACUGAGUGAAUAUAAACUAUAUAAAACUAGGGGUGUCAACGAGCCGAACACGAGCAAGUUGAGGUUGGCUCGUAUUAGACUCGUUUCAUUAAUGAGCAGAUUUCGAACUGGCUCAUUAAAGUAUCGAGCCAAAAAAUUUCAGCUCGUGUUCGGGUCAUUUAUUAACGAACCAAACACGAGCUGACUUACAAACAACAAGUUAAUAGAUUAUAAAGAAUAUAUAUAUAUAUAUAUAUAUAUAUAUAUAUAUAUAUAUAUAUAUAUGAGUGUGUGUUGUAUGUAUAUGUAUAUGUAUAUGUAUGUGUGUGUUGUAUGGAUAUGUGUAUGUAUAUGUAUAUAUAUCUAUUUACACGUAUAUAUAUNNNNNNNNNNNNNNNNNNNNNNNNNNNNNNNNNNNNNNNNNNNNNNNNNNNNNNNNNNNNNNNNNNNNNNNNNNNNNNNNNNNNNNNNNNNNNNNNNNNNNNNNNNNNNNNNNNNNNNNNNNNNNNNNNNNNNNNNNNNNNNNNNNNNNNNNNNNNNNNNNNNNNNNNNNNNNNNNNNNNNNNNNNNNNNNNNNNNNNNNNNNNNNNNNNNNNNNNNNNNNNNNNNNNNNNNNNNNNNNNNNNNNNNNNNNNNNNNNNNNNNNNNNNNNNNNNNNNNNNNNNNNNNNNNNNNNNNNNNNNNNNNNNNNNNNNNNNNNNNNNNNNNNNNNNNNNNNNNNNNNNNNNNNNNNNNNNNNNNNNNNNNNNNNNNNNNNNNNNNNNNNNNNNNNNNNNNNNNNNNNNNNNNNNNNNNNNNNNNNNNNNNNNNNNNNNNNNNNNNNNNNNNNNNNNNNNNNNNNNNNNNNNNNNNNNNNNNNNNNNNNNNNNNNNNNNNNNNNNNNNNNNNNNNNNNNNNNNNNNNNNNNNNNNNNNNNNNNNNNNNNNNNNNNNNNNNNNNNNNNNNNNNNNNNNNNNNNNNNNNNNNNNNNNNNNNNNNNNNNNNNNNNNNNNNNNNNNNNNNNNNNNNNNNNNNNNNNNNNNNNNNNNNNNNNNNNNNNNNNNNNNNNNNNNNNNNNNNNNNNNNNNNNNNNNNNNNNNNNNNNNNNNNNNNNNNNNNNNNNNNNNNNNNNNNNNNNNNNNNNNNNNNNNNNNNNNNNNNNNNNNNNNNNNNNNNNNNNNNNNNNNNNNNNNNNNNNNNNNNNNNNNNNNNNNNNNNNNNNNNNNNNNNNNNNNNNNNNNNNNNNNNNNNNNNNNNNNNNNNNNNNNNNNNNNNNNNNNNNNNNNNNNNNNNNNNNNNNNNNNNNNNNNNNNNNNNNNNNNNNNNNNNNNNNNNNNNNNNNNNNNNNNNNNNNNNNNNNNNNNNNNNNNNNNNNNNNNNNNNNNNNNNNNNNNNNNNNNNNNNNNNNNNNNNNNNNNNNNNNNNNNNNNNNNNNNNNNNNNNNNNNNNNNNNNNNNNNNNNNNNNNNNNNNNNNNNNNNNNNNNNNNNNNNNNNNNNNNNNNNNNNNNNNNNNNNNNNNNNNNNNNNNNNNNNNNNNNNNNNNNNNNNNNNNNNNNNNNNNNNNNNNNNNNNNNNNNNNNNNNNNNNNNNNNNNNNNNNNNNNNNNNNNNNNNNNNNNNNNNNNNNNNNNNNNNNNNNNNNNNNNNNNNNNNNNNNNNNNNNNNNNNNNNNNNNNNNNNNNNNNNNNNNNNNNNNNNNNNNNNNNNNNNNNNNNNNNNNNNNNNNNNNNNNNNNNNNNNNNNNNNNNNNNNNNNNNNNNNNNNNNNNNNNNNNNNNNNNNNNNNNNNNNNNNNNNNNNNNNNNNNNNNNNNNNNNNNNNNNNNNNNNNNNNNNNNNNNNNNNNNNNNNNNNNNNNNNNNNNNNNNNNNNNNNNNCCAGGCAAAUGAUAUCAAAAAUCACAAAAAUUUAUUUCAGGGUACUUCAAAAUACCUAGAUUCAAUUCUAACGGUACGAUCGUCGAUUGAAAGUCGAAAACAUCGAAAACACUUGGAAGCACAGGAGGGCUCCGUGCUUCCACAGCAUACCAGCCCAUCUUCUCUCUCUCUCUUCUCUUCUCUCUCUCUCCUCUCUCUCUCUAUAAUAUUAUAUAUAAUAAAUAAUUGUAUUAUAUAUAUUAUAUAUAUAGUUGAGCAGAAUACUACGUAGUAAACGAGCCCGCUUUAUACGAUUUGUUUUCGAUGAUAGAGGCUUCCAAAUUGACGAUCGGCUCGGUUAAUAUGAUUAAACCAUUUAAACUAUCCUAGAAAUCAAAUUUCACGACUUCGAUAUUGUUCUCUUUAUCCAUCCAGUGAACAGAAAACUAUGAAUAUGGCUGAAAAUGAUACUUUUAAAAAAUGAUGAUAGGAAGUCUUCCUAAUCAAGAUCAAGAGUAUACGGAUCUUGUUUUAAAUAGUUAAAGAUUUUCUUAACAAAAAUUUAAGUGAUUUGGAUAUCUUUACCCCGGUUAAACGAGAAAACUCCUUUACUUCGACAUUAAAAUUACAAAUUUGAACCCCUUUGAUCAUUAGGCAAAUGAUGUCGAAAAGAUUUUUGGAAAAAUUUGAUUUCUAAACACUUCAAGUCGGUAUAGAUCAUUUCAACGAGCCGAUCGUCAAUUGGAAAGUUCUAUAUCGAAAAAAAUCGGCUUAGUAAAACGGUCGUUUUACUACCGACAGUAUCUCUAGCAAACUCUCUCUCUCUCUAAUAUAUAUAAUAUAUAUAUAGAAGAGAGACAGAGAGAAGAGAAGAGAGAAGGAGAGAGAGAGAGAGAGAGCAGAGAGAGAGAGAGAGAGAGUUGGACUGGGCUUCUAUUGUAGCAAAAUUUCAUUGUUACUACAGUUUUUUAGUUCUUUGUGAUCAACUCUUUUUAUUAUUUCUAACAAUUAGAUUAUAUACUAUAACCCAUGGGGACCACUCAACCCUAGGGUGAGGACAGACUCAACUCCUAACUGACUAAUAUCAUCCUGGACCUACAAUUUUUCAUCAAGGCGGUUAAAAACUGUGAUAGCAAAAAGAGCGUUUUAUAUUAAUAGUAUUCCAGCCUGAAUUCUAUAUAUAUUAUAUAGGCUCGGGCUACUAUACUUCUUAUGAGUAUAGACCCCCUUAUUAUCUCAUAAAUUUCUUGAACCGUUGAAUGAUGGAUUAUGUUAGGAUGAUGGCGGUGUCCCACAUUAAAAUGAUAGUUGGUCCCUAGAGUUGAGUGGAGGUAGUUGGUUAAAUAGUAUGAUCUAAUGGAUGAAAAUGUAAUGGAUAAAUUAAUGGCGCCGAAAAUUUAUGAGUAUAAGGAAGCCAAAUUACUCAUAAAGUAUAGUUAGCCGCGACUAUAUAUAUAUAUAUAUAUAUAAACUAGUCUAGAAUUCUAUCAAUAGCACCGAGCACUUUAGUGCUACCAAGUUUUCGUCCUUGAAUGAAGAAAUAUACGGUAUAUUGAUGAUAUGGGCGCCUAGAUGAUAGUGAGUUGUUGGUUGAAUAGGUAUAAUACUAACAGCGGAAAAUAGUCAAAGGUUAAAUCUAAUCGGCCGGAAAACUUGGUAGCACAAGUGUUGGUGCCUAUCGAUAGUAUUUCCAGCCGCCACUAUAUUAUAUAUAUAUAUAUAUAUAUAUAUAUAUAUAUAUAUAUAUAUAUUAUAUAUAUAUAAUUAUAGUAUAGCCAGCGGUUGCUGUCUCUUAGGGGCACGGAGCUUCCGUGCUCCUGAGGGACGUUUCGAUUGAUGGAAUUUUCGAAUCGAGAUCGAACCCGUUAAAGCUUUGAUCUUACGCGUAUUUGAAGUUUUUUAGAAAAUAAUUUUGCGAUUUUUGAAUCAUUUAUCUAGUGAUCGAAAAAUGAUUUCAAAAUCCAUAAUUUUUAAUGGUUGAUAUCUGCCGUUUUCAACGUUUCAACUGGUGUAGAAGUUUUCAAAUCAGAUGAAAUUUUGACGGUCUGUGACAGUUUUCAAGUUUACGGAGCCAAUCGUCGAUCGGAAAUUCCAAUCAUUUCAAAAAAAAUGGCUCAGAGCGGAGCCUCCGUGCCUCUGGAGAUGCACAGCAGUCUUGCUCUCUCUCUCUCUCUCUCUCAUCUCUCUUCUUCUCUCUCUCUCUCAUUAUAUAUAAUAUAUAUAUUAUAUAUAUAUAUAUUAAUUUGAGUAGAUUACUUUUAGAACAACAACCUUGGUGCUUCUAAGUUUCACCUCUUAGAUCUACUCUUCAUUACUAAUAGGCUUGUUGGAUCAAAAUUAUUCUAACCUACUACCACCUACCACUAUCAUCUCAGCCCUACAUCUCUCCAUCCAAUGCUAAAAACUCAAAAUCACCACCCUCAUGUGCUUUUGGGAAGAGUUAUUUCUAUGCUAUAAAUAUAUAUAUAGAGAGAGAGAGAGAGGAGCCCUCCAAUCACCGGGUUUAGCGCUGAGAGAGCCUUUUUGUUUCCAACCGUUACUGGCAUGCCUCGACGGAGGGAGAGAGAGAGCGAAUUUGAUGCUCCUAUGUUUAUAAAUACCAAUCAUAUGCUUGUAAGUUUUCGGCCCUUGUUAAGGAAUGUGCGGUUAGGAUGAUGUGGCCUUCCUUAGGUUUGAGUUGGUUAGUUGGGUUAAUAUUAUAUCUAACGGUGAAAUGGAUCAAAGGCGUUAGAUCUAACGGUAAAAAAAUUCACAAGCAUCAAAAUACUUAGGUGCUUUUACAAGAACCAUAGCGGACUAUAUAAUAUAUAUAUAAUUACGACGAGAGAGGAGAGAGAGAGACGGAAGAGGUCGUGAGAGAGAGAAGAAGAGAGAUAGGGCUGUUGUGCUCUCAGGAGCACGGAGGCCCUCCGUGACUCUGAGCCGGUUUUCGAUGAUAGAAUUUCCGGAAUCGACGACGGCUCCGUUAGACUUGAUUAGCUUUAUUAUAAAGUUUCUGAAAAUUAAUUUUUGCGAUUUUUUUAAUAUCAUUUACUUACAAUCGAAAGAUUCAAAAAUUCAUACAUUUUAACGGCUGAAAAUAAAAAUCUUAUAAAAAGUAGGUGAAUAGCCACUAAAAUUUUCGAUCAGAAAUAUUCGAUCCUUAUUGUAGAAUAGUAGUUAAAGAAUUUUGUAUUCAAAGUUUUCAUCUGCCCCCCCCGAUUUGAAUACUUCUACACUGUUAAAACUUUGAAAACGGCAGAUAAUCAACAUUAAAUUUAUUAAAUUUUUUGGAAUCUCUUUCGAUCACUAGCGGUAGAAUGAUAUAAAAAAAUGAAAAAAAUUUAUUUCUAGAAACUUCAAAUUAUCCUAAUCAAGUCUAACGGAGCUGAUUGUCGAAUCGAAAAUUCCAUCAAUCGAAGACGGUCAACGAGCCACGGCAGGCCUCCGUUGCUCCUGUGAGAGCACAGCAGCCCUACUAUAUAUAUAUUUGAUCUGUUAUGAGAUCGAACAACGUAGCGCAGAUGACCCUAGCUCAAUGCUCGGUUGUUUUAUUGAACGAGCUGAAAAAUUCAGUUUCCGUAUUUGGCCCUUAGUUAAUUAUUAGACUCAAAGCGAUUGAUUUCGACUCUCAUUUUGAGUUGAACUAUGAGUUUGCUCAACGAACAACGAACUAGACUUCCACCUUGACGUAAUGAAAACCAUAACCCUAAGGGCCGUUUGGAUGGAGGAUAAUAGGGGAUAACAGAAAGUUAUCACCGACUAUUCCGCCAACGGAGUGUGGAAAUUUGGCCGGGAUAUUUCGUAAUCCCGGUCAACCUUACUAUUCCCCGGCUUAUCCCGGAUAGCAAGGAAUUUGCUAUUCCACCAUUUUGGUAGAAGUAGCACUAUUCCAAUGCCUGAUUUCAAAUUUUAAUUAAAAUUAUAAAUUGAAUUUAAAACUAAAUUAGUAUAAAUAUAAUAAUGUUAUUAUAUUAUAAUACAUUAAUUUUAUUAUAAAAUUAAUUAUUGUACAUUAUACAUGUUAUUUAUAUUUAAACUAUUAUAAUAAAAUUAUAAUAAAUUAUAUUUAAAUAUUAUAAUAAAUUCUUUAUUAAAUUUAAGUUAAGAUUAGAAUUUUUUUAAAAAAUUAUAAAUUUAUUAUAAUAAAUGUUUUAAUUUUCCACCGUAUUCUUAUUUAAAAUUUUAAAAUUAAAAAUUAAAUUUUAAUUAUCAUAUUAUAUUUACAUUAUUUUUAUUAUAAAAUUAUUAAUUAUAACUAUAUUAUAAUAUUAUUAUAUUUAAUAUUAUAAUAAAAUUUAUAGUAAAUUAUAUUUAAAUAUUAUAAUUAAAUCUUUUUAUUAAAUUUAAGUUUAAGUAGAAUUUUUAAAAAAAUUUAAAUUUAUUAAAUAAAUUAUUUUUAUUAUUGUUCCACUCCUAUUCUUAUUUUAAAAAUUUAAAAAUUAAAAAUUUAAAUUGUUAAAAUUUAUAAUUUAAAAUCUCAAAAUUAAAGUUUAUAAUUUUAAAUUUUAAAUUUUAAAUUUUAAAUUUUAAAUUUAAAUUUUGAUAUUUUAAAUUUGAAAUUUAAAAUUUGAUAUUUUAUAUUUUUCAAAUUUAAAUUUGAUCUUAAAUUUAAAGUUUGAAAUUUUGAAUUUAAAAUUUGAGAUUUUAAAUUUCAAAAUUUGAAAUUUCAAAGUUAAAAUUUUAAAUUUAAAAUUAUAUAUUUAAAAAUUUAAAAAUUUAAAUGCAAAUAUAAUAAAAGGAUAAUAUGAUUAUUUUUUAUUUAUAAAACCCACUAUCUUUCUUAUUUCAUCUUAAUUACCUAACCAAACGUUAUUUUUUUUUAUUCCCAGGAAUAACUCAAUUUUCAUCCAAACGCAAAAUUGAUCUAAUCCCGGGCCCGCUUAUACCUCAAUUUAUAUCUAUUCCUGGAAUAGCCAUUUUUUGUUUAUCUUCGAACCAAACGAUACCUAAGAUGUAAGCCUUAUAACCCAGUUCUAUGGUGCUAGUGGAUUACACUGCUUAAAACCAAAAACAACAAAGUGAAAAAAAAAAACAUACUGGCGAUUCCGACCGAUUAGUCUCAUUAAUGGAAUUCAAAAGAUCAUCUCUAAAGUGCUUGCAAAUAGACUGGUGCCCAUUUUACCGAAGAUUAUUGCUCCAACACAAUCGGCCUUUCUGAAAGAUCGACUACUAGCCGACUCUUUUGUCACUGCAAAUGAACUUCUCAAUUGGUGCGCAAAAUCCGAUAAGGAGUGCGUUAGUAUUAAGGUUGACUUCGAGAAAGCUUACGACAAUGUUAGUUGGAAUUUUCUGCAAAGCAUACUGAGGUGGCUCGGGUUCAGCGACAAAUGGUGGGCCUGGAUCAAACAAUGUAUCGGUAACGCUAAACUCACCAUCUUAGUAAAUGGUUUGCCGACAGAGUGGCUGAAACCAAGGAAGGGAUUGAGAUAGGGGGACCCGCUUUCCCCCUACCUAUUCAUCUUGGUGGCCGACUGUCUGGCCAGGCUCACUGAAGCAGUUAGGGGUAAUAAUUUGAUCCGUGGGAUUGGGCCAACCGCAAAUUGUCAAACGGUGCUUCUUCAAUAUGCGGAUGACACAUUAUUCUUUUCGGAGCCAAAGAAGUCGGCGAUGCGAAAUCUGCUGUUCCUUUGGAAGAUGUUCGAAUGGGCCUCAGGUCUCAAGAUUAAUACGAACAAGACGGAAUUACACUACUUGGGCCCCAACGCAAGCAGAGCCAACAGACUCGCAGAUAUUUUAGGUUGUAGAGUGGGCAAGUUACCAUUUCGCUACUUGGGAUUGCCGCUUCACACCAAAUCCCUUGGGAAGGAAGAUUGGGCAUCGAUCAUUAAUCGUAUAGAGGUGCGCAUCGAAGGUUGGAAGGCAAAACUUCUCUCACGGGGGGAAGACUCAUCCUGGUCAAUUCGGUGCUCACGAACAUCCCGCUAUUCUACUUUACAAUCUUCAAAGCGCCACUAUGGGUUCUGAAUCGCAUUGAAGCCCUGAGAAGAUCUUUCUUUUGGAAAGGGUGCUCUAAAAUUGCAGGGGGCUCAUGCCUUGUAGCGUGGAAAUCGAUCUGCAAAAGCAAGAAAGAAGGGAGUUUGGGGAUCAAGGAUAUGGAAGCAAUGAAUAUGGCUCUCUUAACCAAAUGGUGGUGGCGCUUCUUCAAACAGCCAUAUCUGCUAUGGGGGAGGUUGAUUAAAUCUUUAUAUUACAUAAGAAGAAGGCCUUUACAUGAAGGGAGAGCCUUCAGACCUUACUCCCAGUGGUGGAGAAGCGUGAUGAGAUGUCGAGAGGCGUUCAAAUGUGGCGUUUCGUAUGUGCUAGGCGAUGGAAAAAACAUCAGGAUAUGGUAAGAUAUUUGGAUUGAAGAAACCCCUCUAAGUGGUCGGUUUCCAAGAGUAUACUCCAGCAUUGCGAAUAAGGAGAUCACAGUUGCACAAUGCUGGAAUGAAAAAUGGUGGAGAUGGCGCUUCAUAACUAGAGGCCUAGCUACAUCGAAUAUCAAUAGUCGCCAUCAGAUUAGGUUGAUCAAAAACCUGCUUGCCCUUUAUAGGCCAACUGACACACCGGAUAUACUAAACUGGCGUUGGACCGCCAACCAAACUUUUACCGUUAAGUCCCUUUAUGAAUUCAUCACCGACGCAGGUCAGAGAGUCCCAAUGUAUGAGCAUCUUUGGAGGUUAAAAAUUCCAGUCAAAAUCAAAGUCUUUAUUUGGAUUCUGCUGCGCAAGAGACUGCUAACCGCAGACAGAAUGAUCCGCAGAGGGUGCCUGGUGGAUCAGUUUUGUAUUUUUUGCGUGUUCUUUCUAGAAACCUGCGACCACCUGUUCCGGGACUGUAUCUUGGUCAGAUACAUCUGUAUUUGUGCCGAAGGUUCAGAUGCAAGCGAAUCGGAUGCCGGGGAUGUACGGAGGCUAUGGACAGAUACAUCUAACAUACCCAAUGCCGCCACGAGAUCGAAAUGUUUAACCCGUUUGGCGGCAAUCUGGUGGGUCGUCUGGACUGAGCGCAACAACACUAUCUUCUGCGAGGUGCUUCCCAAUGCUACCCGGGCUCUUGAACGUGUCGGUUCUUUGACCAAUGCCUGGAACGGAGCCCUUUGACCCUUGCUUGUCCCUUCUUCCAUGCUCGGUCCCCACUUCUUCCUUUUCGUUAUCCACCCCGUUUUUCUUGUUUACUUUGUCUAAUCGAUAGGUGUAGAGUUCUUUAUUUUGGAUUUUCUUUUUUAUAUUUUUUCAUCUCUUUCAGGAGGCCCUAGCUGUCUCCAUCAUGUACGCUUAGUUUAUUUUGCUUAAUGAAUGAAGCAUGUAGCUUACUACCUAUUUCUCAAAAAAGAAAAAAGGAAAAAAAAAAAAGCAUAGGGACAACUGGCUUCCGAAAUGAAUGGCUGUCGGCCGAAUGAAAAGGCGAGGAAUGACGCAACAUGUUUCCGACAGCGCGAGCUUCUAGAACCCAUCAAACUUCCAAAGUAUUCAAGAGGUUAUUCAAAUUUUACGUACGUUUCUGCUAUCAUCAUCAUCAUACGCGUAACGAAAUUAUGAAAUAUGUCGUAUGCCUAUUUUAUAUUGUAUUGACAUUUUUGGGAACCUAAAUUUAUGUAUAGCAUGCAUGCCCUCCUCUCGAGUUUAUCGUAUAAAUAUAUAAGCUCUACGUAAAAGAUCCGAUCCAACGUACAACACAAGACUAUUUUAUUUUAUUUAUUUAUUUUUCUUUUAAAAAAGUCAGACGGUUGAAUGCGUGAUUGUUUGAUAUAUCUUAAAUUUUAAAACUGCAAAUUUUUUUAAUUCUAUUCUAUUUUAUUUAUAAUAUUAAAUUAAAUUUAGAUUAUAAUUAAUUUUAUUAAGAUUAUUUUUAAUUUUAGUGGAUUUGUAUUUUCAAUUGUAUCGGAAUUUAACCACUAUUAUAAACAUAUUUUUAUUCUAUUAAUUUAAUGCGGCGGAUGAGAAAGUAUAUGUGUGUAAUUUUAGGACUAGAGCUUUAUGAGAGAGACAUAUUUUAUAUAAUAUUUUAAUUAUAAUGAAAAUCUUCACUUUGUUUUCGCUCGUAAAUAUCGGCCAGUGGUCAAACCACGUAAAUAUUUGUAUGCUUUAUUUUUCUCCCUCUUUCUCAAUUCUCUUUUGAUAUUUUUGCGCUCGAUGAACUAAAUUGUUUUCGCUUUUGUCAUAGGAAACUGAUAUCAGAGAAAAAUCUAAUAUCAUUAUAUGUCGUGGAUUUCAAGCAAACUGAUAUUGGAGCUGGAUUGUUCGUUUGAGUGUUUAAGACGUUGAUGAAAUUUAAGAUCGAAAAGUUUGAACACUCCAGCAAUUUCACUUUACGGCAAAUUGUCGUUCUGAUGCAACGAAGGUUGCAAAAAGUAUAACAAGAGAAAGAGAAGAUUAGUUGGUACAUGCAACAACACUUAAGUAGCUAUUGAGGUUUUAGCGGAAUACGAAGAAUUCAAGUCAAUAUGGAGAUUGUUAAAUAUGUCUCCAAUUCUGAAACCGUAAGGUUUCAUAUCCUUAUUAUGUUUUAAUUAUCUCAUUAAAUUAUGUUUAGAUUAUACGUACCUAAUCUUUUUGAGAUUAUUUCUAAUUAGUGAAUUUAUAUUUCUUGUUGUAAUAGGAUUUAUCCACUUUUAUAUAUACAUUCUUUAAUACAUUGAUUUGGUUUAUCCACUAUUAUAAAUAUACUUUUUAUUACAUUGAUUUGGUACGGCAUAUAUAUAAGUAUAUUUUUGAGAAACAUAUUUUAUAUAUUAUUUUGAUUAUAAUGAAAUCUCUGUUGUAUUUUCAUGUGUGAAUGUAUGCCAGUGGUUGAACACGUUUUAUUUUUUCGCUCUUUUUUGGUUUUUUUUUUUUUAAUUUUUGUGUUGGAUGAACUAUAUUUUUUCUACUGCAUGUUGUCUUAACAAAUUGGUAUUAGAGAAAAUUUUGUAUCAGUAUAUUAAGUCGCGGACUUUUAACCGUCACUAAUAAACAUAGUAACAGAUAUGCUCGAACUCUCCCGACUUUUUAUAUAUAUUGGUUGUUGGUUAACAGCCACUUGACUAGCUAGUUGUUGUUAUUCAUAUUGGAGCAAUCUCUAAACUGUUAUUUGUUUGCAAAUACAAAAUAAAAAAUAAAAAUUUAAAAAUUGUCAUACACAAUUGAAUUUUGCACUCAACUGUUGCGAUCUAUGCAAUCAAUCUGGGGCAUAUUUGUUUCAUGAUUGGAAUAUAAAUAGAAAAGAAAAUUAGAUUGUAUUGAAAUAAAAAAUAAAAUGAUAAAUUAUUAUUAUUAUUUUUUUAGAGAUAGGUAGCACGCUACCCGCUUCGUUUAUUUCAUUUAGAAAUAAACUUAGCUAGAAAUGUGAAUCAACUAGAAUUCGAACUUGGGUCUCGGAUACCAACCACGAAGCCCUUUGCCACUUGCUUUAGGGACGGUCGGUAAUAAAAUGAUAAAUUAUUAAAAAAUGUUUGCCUUAUUAUUAAUUAGAACGGUAAUCGGAAUGGAUAUCUAGAAUUUUGAGAGAGGGUUUUGGUUUAUUUAGAAUGUGUCAGUUCGAAAUUCAAAGUCAAAUUGGAUUAUAAAUGGAUUAGAUCAUUUUUAUUUCAGAGUACGUAGAAAAUGAAUUGAAAUCUAAUUCCUGUAAAACAAACAACGACUAUCUGAAUAAAUGAAUCUUAUUCCGAUUUCAUAGUCUAAAAUAUGUGAACUAAACAAGCCCUUAAAGUAAUCAACAUUAGCCGAAUAAUCUAUAAACAAUAUAUAAAGGACUCACUCUAGUGAUAUAAAUUAGUCUUCUUAACAUCAAAAAUUACUUUUGAUGGUAAAGGUUAUAACAACAGUUACCAUACUUAAAAAAUUGAAAAUCAAAUGAUAAAAUUAACUCUUUUACAACAAAACUUAAUUUAGUUUCAUUUGAUAAAUUGAAAGGAAAAAACAGCAAAGAUUGCUGAAUUUUAGUCUUUUUGCAAAUAGACCACUGAAAUUCUACUUUUGGCAAUUAAACAUCUUAAAUUAAUAGUUUACUAUGUCAUUUUCCUCGUGCGAAGCUAAUGAUUGAGCAGCCCUUUUGAUUACAUAUCUCACACCGUCAUACUAUAAAUCACAAAAAAAUAUCUUUUUUUUUUUUUUUGGGUACGAUGAUUAAGAAUAAUCAAGACCAAAGAAUAUAGUGAACAUAUAUAGUGUUGAUUUUUAGUACUUUUUUUUCAUUCGUUAGAAUAAAAGAAUAAAAUUGUUUCUGUUUUAACGCUUUAAUUAGGAGUAUUUGAUAAAGAUUAGAGAGAUUAAUUGUCAAAAGUAAAAGUUUAGGGACCUAUUUACAAAAUAGCAAAAGUUUUUGAGGUCAUGCAUGGUACAUUUUUCAUUUGAUUCAAUUUGGACCAAGGUGCUUAAUUAAUUAUAAAAGUUUGCAAGUUUGAAGGGCAAAUAUCAAGUUUUUAUAAUUUAGAUAGUUAUAAUUAAACAGACAAAAGUUUAAAUGAUUCUGAUACAUGUAAACCACCAAAUGCUUGUGAGGCGAAGGUGCAAAACUCAUUAAUUCCUAUUUUAAAAAUAAUGGAGCUUAUCUAAACUAUAUAACCAUUUUUUAUUCAGCUAUAUAUCGAACUUUUAGAAAUUUUAGUUUCAAUAUUUAAUAUUUUAAUUCAUUUUAUAUGAACCAGUAUUUUUGAUGAUUUUUAUACUAUAAAUUUGGAUGUAUUAUUUAUUUUUAUUGAUUUAAAUAGUAUAUUAAACAUAAUUAAUUUAUGUUACCUCGAAAAAAAAAAUUGUAAUUCACAUAAUUAUAACUCAAUUAAAGUAAGCGAAAGUCUUAAAUUCUAUACAAUUUGAGUGCCAAAAUAGAUCAUAAUUUGGAUAAGUUUUACAAUUUUAUUAAGUAAAUGUAAAUUCUGAAUAAAUAAAAAUAUUAAAUUUUAUAGUUUAAAUGAUUAUCUAUAAAAAGAUAAAAGCCGAUUUAUUGAAACCACCAAAGAGAUUGUGAGGUGGAUGUGUUCAAAGCCAGAUCUCUCUUAUUAGGAGGUAAUUAAAAUGUUUGAAAUCCCCCCCAACUGUAAGCAAUUUUGAAAAACACAUCUCAGCUUUUAUUAUUUCCAAAAUUAAGUGAAUUUCUUCAGAAAAUUAAGAACUAUUUUAAAUUUUUAAUAUUUUUAAUUAUUUUAUAGUAAAUAAAAUUUGACACAACUAAUAAUUAAUAACCAAUAAAGUGAUUAAAUUUAAUAAAUUUUUUUAAGUAUGGUAAAUUAAAAAGUUAAGAAGCGGAAGAAAUUAAGUCUACUAUGUAGUAGCUAUACCACAUUAUUUAUAUUCAGUCAAUCACAUAUUUUUUUNAUUUUGAAGGACAUUUCUAUAUAAUUCUAAUAAUUGUAGCUGAAUAAAUAUAUUAUUUUCACAUUUAUUUCUGUAAUAGUCUAGUGAUAUUCAUAUAUUACCCCUCUAUUUUAUUACCGUUAGAAUAUUAUUUAUUAUUUAACGGAAGAUAAGUAAAAUGAUAUUUUUAUCAUCAUAAAUAUAUUUUUUCAAAAGCCACAAUUAUUAGAAUUAUAUAGAAAUGUCCUUCAAAAUUUUAACAUCAGAAAUAUAUUUGAAAACGUUGAAAAAUUUUACAGGAAUAAAUAUAAAAAUUAAAUUUUUUUACAAAUAUAUUUUCUACUGGAUAUGUUUAUAUAAAAACUAUACGCGAAUACGCGAUUAACUUUUUUUAUUUUAAUUACUGAUUUAAAAAGUUGAGAAGGUACGAGUAGAAGAGUCGGUCGCUUCAAAUAUUAUGAGAAUUUAUUUAAGGUGAUGAUGUGGCAUCACAAUUUUAUUGCCACGUGGACUUUGUUGUAUCGACAGAGACAGGGAAGAGCCAAGUAGAACACGUUUCCGAAAUGCAGAGUCGUCCAACUGCUACGCACCACCGCCAGCAACCUUCCAAGGAAUUAAAUUUCCAUACAGGCGUGCGAACAGUGCAGCCAGCCAUUAAUACCGCUGUCUGCACCCGGCGCACAACAACAACAACAACAACAACAAGUACGCAAAUCUGCCGUUUCGACGCACGUCAAAUCACUUUAAUAUAUUUGUGGCUACCCGUGAUUUUAGUUUUACAAGUUAUCACAAUUUUAAGCUGUGUGCUAUACUUGGCUCUCGAAAUAAAUUGUUUGACAAUUUGGUUAGUGUAGUAAUAUAAUAAUUGAAAGUACUUUAUUGGCCAAUUUGCAUAAAAAAAUUAUUAAUUUUGAAAUUUUGCAAAAUUGAAUUGCCUUUUUCGAUUUUGCAUAUUCGGUCUAAAUUUUCAGUAAACUGAUAAAAAAUGCCCUAAUUACUUGUUCUCACUCUUCUUUUUUUUCUCGUUCGUUUUUUCUCUCUCCGAAGAAUGCAGCGGAGGCGGAAAUAGCCUCCUUCGCCUCUGCCUUGCACGCCUUCGCCCUCGCCCUCCUCGCCUUCGACCUUGCUGAGGCCGCGCCGCGCCCCUCCUUCUCCACUUGGGCAUAGCGACGUCGAGGCGCAGGCUCUUCUCUUACACCGUGCGUCAGAAUGCCGCGUCGUCGUCGGAGACGGUGAGCUCGCCUCCGACGACGUCGCGGUGGUUGCGAUAUAAAGCAAAAGAGAGGUGAUGACAAAAAAAAAUUAUACAGAGAAAAAAUAAGAAUAAUAAAAAAUAAAAAUAAAAAUAAAAAAAAAAUUCUACAGAAAAGACCAAAAAUUAUAGAAGAAGAAAAAAAUGAUGAAAUUGUACUGUUAAAAUAAGAUCACACUGUUUUAAAAAAAAUUUUGCACUGUUUUAAUGAAAGUUGCACUAUUUGAUAUAGAAAUCACACUCUUUUGGGAUAGAUUUUACACUCUUUAGGCCAAUGUUGCACACUUUAGGAGAAUUUUGCACCAUUUCUUUUUCUCUUCUUUUUCUCUUUAGGCCAAUGUCGCCAUCUGCGGGGCCCUCCAGUCCCUCUGCGUCCAGGACUGCCUCGACCUUACCAACUCCUCGGACAUCUCGGCGAGGUCGGCGUAGACGGCCAUGUCUGCGGGUGGAAGGCGAACGCGCUCCUGGAAGGCGAUGGUGGUAGAGUAGUCGCCCGCGCCGAUGCAGCGCGAUGUGGCUAUUGGCCCUGUUAGCACCAAUGACGACGUUGACGAUGAGGGUGGAGGAGAUCGGAUCAGCACCAGCGCGGGAGGAGCUGGAUGGGAUGUAGUGGAGGAGGGAAGGGUGAAACGGGGAGGAGGGGAGAGGAGGAAGAAGAAAAAAAAACGAAAUGGUGUAAAUUUCACCUAAAUAGUACAAAUUGGUCCUAAAGAGUGCAAAUUUGUCCUAAAGAGAGUAAUUUCUGAUCCCAAAGAGAAAAACUUUCAUUUAAAAUAGUGCAAAAAAUUUUUAAACAGUGUAAUUUUAUUUUAAUAGUGCAAUUUCAUCUUCUUAUUCCUUCUUCUAUAAUUUUUUAUUUUUACUUUUUUUCUUCUUCCUUCUUCUAUAAUUUCUUUUUUGGUCACGCUUCUCCGCCAACAGCCACGGCACCGGCGACGAUGUUGCUAAUGACACCCCGCUCCGAGGCUAUGGCGCCGCAGCGAUCUCCGCGGUGUCUAUGUCGGCGGAAAGGCGUCGUUGUCGGAGGAGGCGAAGGAGGAGGGAGAGGAAGAGGGCGAGAAGGGCUGGGAAGGGCGAGAGAGGAUGAGAUAGGCGUUGUCAUCAGAGGUGAUGGAUGAGGGUUGGUGAGGGGAAAAAAAAAAGAGUCGCAGCGCGAUCUCGGCAGGAUCAGAGGCAAGGAAGGCAGAGGGUGCACAGGCAAGGCCAAGGGUGCGUCGGACAAAGGCAAAGUGGGCUGCCUCCGCUUCUACCUCCGCCUCCACCGCCCUCUGCGGAGAGAAAGAAAAAAAGAACGAGAGAAAAAAAAAGAGGAGAGAGAAAAAGAUACAAGGGUAUUUAUGAAAAUCCGGUCUGAAUCUGCAAAAUCAAAAAAGGUGGCCCAGUUUUACAAAAGUGCAAAACUAGUGAAUUUUUUAUGCAAAUUGGCCUACUUUAUUUUACUUUUCUUAUUUUUUUUUGAGAAAAUAGGUAGCAAGCUACCUGCUUCAUUCAUAAAGCGGGAUGAAUUCAGCGUACAUAAUGGAGACAACUACGGUCUCCGAGAAAGAAAAGGUACAGAAAAAAGAACGAGGUAAUAAAAGAAAGGAAUAAAAAGUAACUAGUAAUAAGUAAGCAGUAAUAAGAGAGGUAAGGAGAGAGAGGUGUAGCAAGGGUGAUGGAGAUCGCUCAAUGAAGUAAGGUCCAGUCACUCAUCAAAAGUUUGACGCGUUCGAAUUUUACUUUUCUUAUUUUAAAAACAUAAUUUAAGUGUCCAAUAUAAAUAGGAUGAAGUUUUUCGCUGUUAAAACUAGGGAUGUAAAUGGAUAUGGAUACCCGAAUUUUAUCUAAAUCCAAAUUCGAACGGAGCGGAUUUUAUCCGAUGUAAUGGAUAUGGAUUCAGGUAUGGAUAUUAAAAAAAAAAAAAUCCAACGGAUUCGGGUUCGGAUAUAGAUAUUUUUAAAAAACCUGAACCUGAACCUGAACCCGAACUCGACCCGAACCCGAACUCGAACAAAUUUAAUAUGAUAUAAUAUAUAAAAAAAAUUUAAACCAUUAGAUCCGAAUCUAGAGGCCAAAAAAAUACUUACACUUUUAUAAUCUAAACCAAAAUACAUAUAUCUCUAUAAUCCAAACCUUAAUAUUCAAAAAUCAAAACCUUUCCAUUUUCCAAACCCAAACCCUCAUAUUCAAAAUCAAAACCUUCUCAUUUCCCAAACCCAAAGUCCCAAACCCUUAUAUUCAAAAAUCAAAACCUUCCCAUUUCCCAAACUCUCUCCAUCUCCAAACUCUAAUAGUUAAAAUCUCAAAAGAGAACUAUUUCAAAGUCUUCCCAUUUUCCAAACCCUCUACAUCUUUAAACUCUAAUAAUUGAAACCUUAAAAGAGAACUAGAAAAGUGAUUCUUAAAAGAGAACUAGAAAAGUGGUUGUAGACUUGUAUAGUCUCUUAUUCAUUCUUCUCCAAGAGGAUAUUUUGGUUUAUUAUUUUCUCUCUAAAAACCACAACAUCAAACCUAAGAGGAAAAAAUGUGAGGAUUUGUUUUAAAAAAAAUUGAAAAUUAAAAUUGCUUUUUUGAUGUGAGUUUUUUUUAUUCUUCAUAUAUGUCUUUUUUUUUAAUUUCUUAAGUUUAGUCUCUUAGUUCUUAUAGGUUGUUGGACAAUAGAACUAUUUUUUUAAAAAAAAAAUUUAAAAAAUUUUCGUUUUAUUUUUCACUUAAUUAGUAUUUUUAACUUUACUCCCUAGAUCUUGUGGGUUGUUGGCCAAUGAAACUAUUUUUAAAAAUUGUUUAGGAAUCUUUGUUUUUAGUUUUUUUGUAUAAUAUGUUUUGAAAUUUUGGCAAAUAAUAUUUUCGGGUUCGGAUUUUCGGGUUUAGAAUUGGGUUUCGGGUUUUUGGUCGGAUUCGGGUUCGGGUUUUCAGGUUCGGGUUCGGAUUUUGGAUUUUUGGUCGGGUUCGGAUUUGGAUAUGGAUUUUUAAAAUCCGUCGGGUUCGGGUUCGGGUUUCGGAUUUGGUAGUCGGGUUUGGGUUUCUAAAAAACCCGCCCCGAAUCCGACCCGUUGACAUCCCUAAUUAAAACUGUUCCCUUGACCAUUUUCAUGGAUCAUAUUAUUCCACCAACCACUCAUUAAAUCUUAGGGGGAACCACUAUCAUUCUAGCCGCACAUUUUUUUAUCCAAGGAUCGAAACUUAACAGCACAAAUGACUAGGUGUUAUUAAUUACAUUCCGACCUAAUUAUAUACGUAGGUUAGGACUACGAUACUCAUAAAGAGCCUUUUGUAUUUAUAAAUUUUCGGCCGUUGGGUGAAGGGAUGUGUGGCUAAGAUGAUAGUGGUCCUCAAUUAGGAUGGUAGUAAUCCCCUAGGGUUGAGUGGGUAGUUGGUUGAAUAGUAUGAUCCAACGGGUGAAAAUGGUUAAAGGAAUAAAUCUAACGGCCGAAAAUUUAUAAGUAAAAUGUGCUCUAUACUCAUAAGAGUGUAGUAGCCGGACUCUCUCUCUCUCUCUCUCUCUCUCUCUCUCUCUCUCUAUAUAUAUAUAUAUAUAUAUAUAUAUAUAUAUAAUAGGACUACUAUACUCUUAUGAAUAUAAAAUCCUUUAUACUUAUAAGUUAUUUUCAAUGAUGAGGCAUUCGAAUUAAUAAUCCACACCGUUAAUAUGAUCUAGAGCAUUUGAAAUUUUAGAAACUAAAUUUUAUAAUUUUUUGAAAUUAUAAUAAAGACAAUCAAGCAGAAUAGAAUGAAUAGUUAAAAUUGAGGGACCUUCUAAAAAUAGAGAAUUGAAUUUUUUUAAUUUAAGAUCGGAGUUAUUAUUCUUUAUUUAGAUAGUGAAUAGAAUUUUUUAUCAAAAAUUCAACCGAUUUCGAUUCUUUUACACCGUUAAACUAGCAACUAUCCCAUAUCGGUCGUUAAAAGUUAUCAACUUUAAGAUUCUUUUACACCGUUAAACUAGCAACUAUCCCAUAUCGGUCGUUAAAAGUUAUCAACUUUAAGGUUAUUUGAUUGUAAGGUAAAUGAUGUCGAAAAAUUAUGAAAUUUAGUUUCUAUAAGUUUUAAAUGCUCAAAAUCAUGUUUAACAUGCAGUAUGGACCGUUAAUUCAAAAGUUUAUAAUCGAAAAUGACUUAUAAAUACGAAGCCGAUCAUACUCACAAAAGUAUAAUAGUCGAACUAGACAGUAGGACUAUUGUGCUAUUAGGAGCACAACAGCCCUUGUAUUUCUAAGUUCGCAACCAUUCAUCAAUUUUGAUGGUUGAUUACGAUUAAUAGCUCAUUUCAUUAUUUAUCUCUCAAUUUUUCUUUUUUUGAUUUUUUUUAAAAAUUUUCUUCAGUCUCUCAUCCUAAUCAUCUAUUAAAAUUGAUAGAUAAUUACGAACUUAGGAGCACAAUGGUUGUUAUGCUCCUAAUUGCAUAGUAAUCUUACUAUAUAUAUAUAUAUAUAUAUAGAGAGAGAGAGAGAGAGAGAGAGAGAGAGAGAGAGAGAGAGAGAGAGUAGGGCUACUAAACUCUUAUGUGUGUAGAGCUCUUUGUACUCAUAAGUUGUUUUCGAUGAUGGAGCUUCCGAAUCAACAAUACACUCCGUUAAAUAUGAUCUAGAGUAUUUGAAACUUCUAAAAAUAAAUUUCAUAAUUUUUCGAAAUCAUAAUAAAGUUCAUCAAGCGGGCAUAAAAUGAACGGUCAAAAUUGAACGAAGUCCUAAAAAUGGAUGAUCGGAUUCUUCAAUUUAAGGUCAAAAUUAUUGAUCUUUAUCUAGAUAGUGAAUAUAAUUUUCUAUCAAAAAUUCAAACUAUUCCAAUUCUUUUACACAGUUUAACUAGCAAGUAUCCCAUACCGGCUGUUAAAAAUUGUUAAUUUUAUGACCUUUUGAUCAUAAGAUAAAUGAUGUUGAAAAAUCAUGAAAAUUUGAUUUCUAGAAGUUUUAAAUGCUCUAGAUAACGUUUAAUGGUAUGGAUUGUUCGAUUCGAAAGCUCUAUCAUCGAAAAUGAUUUAUGAGUACGAGGGUGAUCGUACUCAUAAGAAUAUAAUAGCUGGACUCUAUAUAUAUCCGAAUCGACGAUCCAUACCAUUAAAUGUUAUCUACAGCAUUUAAAAUUUUUAGAAUCAAAUUUUAUAAUUUUUUCACAUCAUUUACCCUACGAUCAAAAGGUCACAAAAUUACUAAUUUUUGACGGCCAGUAUGAGAUGCUAGUUUAACGAUGUAAAAGAAUUAGAAUAGGUUGAAUUUUUGAUAGAAAAUUCUAUUCACUACCUAGAUAAAGAUCAAUAACUCUGAUCUUAAAUUGAAAGAUUCGAUCAUCCUCUUUUAGGACGUCGUUCAACUUUGACCGUUCAUUUUAUGUCCGCUUACUAGACUUUAUUACGAUUUCGAAAAAUUACGAAAUUUAUUUUCUAAAAAUUUCAAAUACUCUAGAUUAUAUUUAACGGAGUUUAUCGUAUAUUCGGAAGUUCCAUCAUAGAAAACAACUUAUGAGUACGAAGGGCUUCAUGCUCAUAAGAGUAUAGUAGCCUGUUAUGUAUAUAUAAUAUAGUUCUUACUAUAUAUCCAUUUUUCCACCUUUGAAUUAUUACUAUUCCCCUCAUAUAAAUAUAUAUAUUAUGUUUGGAUAUCAAAAUAAUUUAUUCAAUAUAAUUUUUAUUUUUUAAAGUAAGAUAACUUGUAAUUGAAAGAUACUAUUUUAUUAAAUCAUUAACAUCAAGCUGCUUUACAAGAAAUAGAACUCAAACUGUUAUAUUGCAAUUACAAAAGAAAUUAAAUCUUUGAACCGAUAAGUUAUCAUUUGAUCAUAACUUAUUAUGACAUACAAAUGAAGCCUUAAUCUCACUCCUUAUUUACCAAAUAUAUAAAUUUCUAGAGUGAAUUAUGCAAAUAUACUUGACAAAUAUUUAUGCAUCGAAACAAAUACAGCCAAAAGGUGGUUUAUGGAUUAUAUUGUCUGAUCAACAUCAAAGCAUGCAUUUUAAUUUUAUGGGUGAUUUUAUAAAUGCCCUUCCAAGAGGUUAUAAUUUUAUUAGAGCAAUGCUUUGAUAAAUCUUACACCACUUUAUCUAAAAGUUAAUAUUUCAUAUUUGUCUUAUCAACUCUUCUUCGAUAUUAAAAAUUUGAACAAACUUAAAAAAAACUUUAAAUUGAGAGGUGCAAGAUAUACACUCACUUUUUGAGUGUGAAAGCACCUGCUUCAAAGUUCAAACUAUUACAAAUGCCUUCGCAAAUUUUAAAUAUAUUUUUGAAUGUCCCUCCUAGUUAAAUUUAUACAAAAUUUACUGAUUAGUUCUAAAUUUUCACUUUUAUCAUCCAGUACAAUAAAAAGUAAUAAUAUUUGAUGAAUGUAAAAUACAAUGUGUUCUCUAAAUUCAAUUGCUUCAAUGUUAUAACGUAUAACUAAUCUAAAAAUAAUUUGAAGCACUGGUAAUUUAUGUGGACUAUUUUUGAGUGAACCUCCUGACUUAAGAUGAAUAAAGAUAAAGUAGAGUUGUUCUAUAUAGGAGAACGCAAAAAUAAAGUGAGCAAACUAGCGCACAUCUUAACCUUUAAAGUGGGAGAGUUCCGUACUAAGUAUUUAGGAUUGCCGCUGCCCAGUAGAACCUUGAGGAAAGAAGAUUGCUUGGGAGUUACUAACAAAAUUCAAAGAAGAAUUGACAAGUGACAAGUUAAGUUACUCUUGCGUGGAGAUAAGUUAACGUUAGUGAAUGCGGUUCUCGCCAAAUUGCCAAUUCAUUUUCUUUCUAUCUACAAGGCGCCAAAAUGAGCCAUUAGGUGUAUUGAGGCGCUAAGAAGGGACUUCUUCUGGAAAGGUAGGCAAGGCACUACAGGAGGACCAUACAUUGUAGCUUGGAGGGGUGUGUAUAAGAGCAAGAAUGAAAGAGGUCUUGAGGUGGACUUAAUUGCCAUGAAUAAUGCCCUUAUCACAAAAUGGUGGUGGCGAUUUUUCACGAAUCUAGGCCUACACUUGAGAAAGUUGGUUAAAGACUUAUGCUAUGAUAGAAAAACGAACCUAAGGGAAGGGAAAUCCUUUAAACCGGCCUCGCAAUGGUAGAAAGAUGUGCUUAAGCUUUGGGACGCCUUCAAUUGUCGGCCUAGCCUCUCUUUAGGGGAUGGUCAACAAAUUGAUUUUUUGGAUGGACAGAUUGUGUGGUGAAAUCUCGCUACACUCUCUAGUGUUUGAAGUACAUAAAGUUGAACUCAAGAAUGUUACUGUUAAGAAAUGCUAUGCCUGCAAAGGAUGGAAAUGGAGAAAAAAUUUAAAAGGGAUUGAUUUGGCAAGUCCAGAUAGUGUCACGCCCCAAGGAUUCUUUUUGAAAAUCCCUUUUCAAGAAAGCCAAUAGAAAACACAUGAAAUUUUUUUAACAUCUUUGAAGACACCCCGCAACGCAUAUAGUGUUAGAAAUUGCGUACGGUAAAAACACAACGGAAAAAGAAAACAAACAAAUUUGAUUUUGAAAACUCUCGAGAUCCAAUCUCAAAAACCACACAAUUAGGAUCCCUCAUUCUCUUUAAGAUUAAAGGUGAAUAGUAAGAUCGAAUCUUUACAUUUUGCGCAAAUAGAUCUUCAUCUCAAUUUGAUGAUCGUAGAAUUAGGUUUUCUUGAAGCCGCACACAUGUCCGGCCUCUAUAGGUAUCCACACGAGGUUCUUGAUUUGAUCAAUGUCCUCAUCGGGGUUGCUAGCUCCCUUGCAAAAGGAUGUCUUUCUUGCUAGAAGAUAGAAGAAAGAGGAGAAGAGAGAUGACAGCCAGAGUUUUCUAAAAACUCCAGUAUAUUAUAUAGAGGAAUAUAAUCCUCUUUAAUAAUAUAAUAACCAUUAAGGAUAAGCACAAAUUUAGAUUUAAAUUUAUUCUUUCCUUGAUUGGUUAGAUCGAUCAAAUCCUAAUUUGAUUCGACUUGAACUUUAUAUUAAUUUGAUCAUAUCAAAUUAAUAAUGCAACAUUUGCACAUAAGUCCUCCUAUAAUUUACUAACUAUUAGUAAGUCUUCUCUUGUAACAUUUACACCUUAAUACCACUAAUUUGUAAUAAUUACAAAUUAGUCCAAUUAUCAACAUAUUGACAAUUAGGUUCUUCGGCGAUUCAAUAAUCAAAAUCUAGUUAUCUGAUCAAUCACAACCUCUUAUGUGUGUGACCCUAUAGGUUCUAUUCUAUCUGGUAGUAAGAUAUAUUUUGAUCACUAUCAACAAUAUCACUGAAACUCCUUUCAGUAGAUCGGAACAAUUCCAACUCAGCCCAAUAAGAAUUAUCGAUUAUUUAGAUAAUUCUCAUGAGUCUCACAAUCCACCAGUGAUGCCUAGCAGCAUUUGUGGCAUUCCAAUAGAAUGGAAUAUUGAACCUCUUGGUGCAGUUACCGUGUGAUACAAUCCUUCUAUCAUGAGUCCCGACUAGACGGAGGUUAUGGAAUAACUCGUCGAACCUCAUCGUCUGUCAUAUGUCAAAUUUAUUCGAUUCGAGUUUCUAAUAUCGGAAACGCUUUUCCGCUUUUAACUCUGCCCUGGUCAAUGUCUUCUAAAUUCGGUCUCAUAAAUCACAUAGGACUAACGUUUCAAUAUUUAAAAAUUAACUUUAUAUUUUAAAUCUGAAUUUAAUUUUAGCUAUUAUAAUUUCAAAUUAUCUUUAAAAUGGUUUUUAACUUGUUUAAAUACUACGUUAAAUUCAUUUGAUUUGGAUCAUUUGACUUGGAUCAUAAGUUCAAUUAAAAUGGUUUUUCCAUGGUCUAAAAAAUCACUUUGCGUCCAUGCAAAGUUUAGCCCAUUUUUCACUUUGUAACCACAUUAUUCUUUAAAAAUUUACUUUACCACCUAUUUUGACAUAGGAUUUUUUGAUAAAAUAACAAUUAACUGAUUAAAUUAAUCAGGUUUAUAUUACACUGGUUGAGCUAUCCAAUCAAAUAAUCAUAACUCGAACAGUUAAGUUCGGAUCGACUAUCCAUGUUCAAAAGUUAAAAUAUCAAUAUAUAACAUUCUUUCUAAUUGAAUUUUAGUUUUAACCAUCCAAUUUCAAUUUAUUAAGAGUUUUGUCUUGAAUUUUGACCACAUCAACUUUAACUCAUCAUUCAGCCAUCUAAAUUGAAGCGUGAAGCUCAAUGCAAUAAUCUAAAAAAUUUGAAUAAAGUUGGACAACCAAAGAAUAAUGUUUCUUAUAAUUUGAAAAAUAAGUUUGUAAUUUAUACUGAAACUUGUGAAGAUUGUAAAAGUUUAAUUUAUUUUAAUUAAGAUAUUGAACUGAAUUUGUUAGAACUAUUGAUCACAAAGUCAAAUUCAAAAUUUUUAAACAUCCACUUGGGGACAAUAUUUCAUAUUCAAUUACUAAGAGAUUGCAUAAUAAAACUUGUCAGUUGUAAUAUUUUAUAUUUGCAUAUAACUUUUGAUGCAAAAAAAUUUAAAAUUUGAGACAAAUUUAAAAUUUUAUUUCAUAAUCAAAUCAUACAAAUAAAUUCAAUUAAAAAUUGUAAAUAUAGAUUAGCUAUUACUUCAAAAAGGAAAGCAAAAUGUACAAAAAUGGAAUGGAAUGUUCUAUAUUUACUAAAGAGGCAUUAUGGGAAUGGAAAUAAAAAUUUUUCAAAAAGCCCUUGAUACUAAUUUACAUGAAAUAUUUUGCCCUCGGUAAGAGGAUAACCGGUACCUAAUACAACAAAAGCCGGUCACCCUCUUAAAUAAAAGGCAUCCUCACCAUCCAUUUUAGAAAAUUUUAGGGCUAAGAUCUGUUGGUGUAUAGGAGCAUUGCUUAUAUAUAUAUAUAUAUAUAUAUAUAUAUAUAGAGUGAGGCUACUAUACUUCUGAAAGUACGGAGCCUUUCGUGCUUUAAUGUUGUUUUUGAUAUUUCAACUUUCGAAUCGUCGAUCGGCUCCGUUAAACAUGAUCUAGAGUAUUUGAAGUAGUUAGAAAAUAAAUUUUAUGAUUUUUUGAUAUCAUUUGCCUAGUGAUCAAAAGGGCUCAAAAUCAAUAAUUUUAAUUGCCGUAGUGAGCCGUUUGCAUGUUUAACGGUGUAGAAAUAUCCAAAUCACGUGAAAUUUUGAUAGAAAAUUUUUUAUACUAUAUAAAACAAGAUCAAUAUCUGGAUCUAAAAUUUUAAUGUCAUCAUUAUCGAUCGGAGAAUUUUAUAAGGAGUUUUUAUUUUCAGCGUUGAUUCUGAGCCCCUUCGUUCACUAGGCAAAUGAUAUCGAAAAAAUUACAAAAUUUAUUUUCUGGUACUUCAAAUACUCUAGAUCAAGUUUAACAGAGCCGAUCGAUGAUUCGAAUGUCGCAACAUCGAAAACUACCUGGAAGCACGGAAGGCUCCGUGCUUCCAGAAGCAUUAUAGGCUCACUCAUAUAUAUAUAUAUAUAUUAUAUAAUUAAAAUUGAGGCUAGAAUACUUUUAGAAGCACCACCUUCUUGGUGCUUCUAAGUUUUUUAGCCCUUGGAUUAUCCUUGAUUAUUAAUAGCCUUUGGAUCAAACACUAUUUACUAUCACCACCUACCACCACCUACAGCAUCAUCCCAUACUCUACAUUCUUCAUCCAAGGCCUACAAAACUCAAAAACACCAUCUCUUUGGUGCUUUUGGAAGUAUUCCAGCUCAACUAUAUUAUUAUUAUAUAUAUAUAUAAAUAUAUUAGUGCCUACUAUACUAUCUAUAUAGUACGGGAGCUCCCGUACUAUGUGUUAUUGUUUUGAUCUUAGGGCGUUCAAAUCAACGAUCCCACACCGUUAAAUAUGAUCUAGGGUAUAUGAAGUUCUUUAGAAUAAAAUUUUAGUUCUUUUCGAUAUCGUUUACUUAGUAAAUAAAUUAUGUCAAAUGGACGGUGGAAUUGACAUACUAUCUUUAAAAUUUGAGCCAUCAGGACUUUUUAAAUUCAAGAUCAAGAAUUUAACCUUAAUCUAAUAUGUUAUAAAGAAUUUUCUUAAUCAGAAUUUGAAGAAAUUUAGAUUCUUCUCUCACGUUAAACUCGCAAACUCAUCAUAAUAGCCCAUUGAAUUUGACAAUUUUGAAAAUAUUUUACAUAAAGUAAACUAUGUCGAAAAAAUAUUAAAAAUUUUAUUUCUAAAACUUUUAACCCAUACCUCUAGAUCAGUUUAACGGUGUGGAUCGUUGAUGUUGAAUGCCCGAAGAUCGAGAACAACACAUAGUACGGAGCUCCCGGUACUAUAAGUAGUUCAGUAGCGGACUCAAUAGUAUAUAUAUAUAUAUAUAUAUUAAUAAUGAUUAUAUAAUAUAUAUAAGUUUUAAAAGCGUAAUAUAACUCAUUGCUUAAAAUAUUAUAAUAAUAAAAAUAUUUAAAAUCUUAAAGCAAAAAUAUUUCAUAAUAUGACGCGCAAUGAAAAAUUAGGAUUAUAAUUUUUAGAAUAGGUAAAUUAAAAAUAUAUAUUAAUUAAGAAAAUAUAUUUUGUAAUUAAAAAUAUAUGUAUGGGUACACACGGGUAUCCACGGAUAUCCGCAAGUUACCCAAAAUGCCCACUGUUUAAUGGGUACCCAUCUGUUUUAUCUGUAAUUUUUUGGGUUGAAAAAGUUGGUACCCAUACCGGCAAAUUUGUGGGUAACCCGUGGGUUUCGGUCAAGAUUGCCGGGUCUAGCUUUGUUUGGAAGUAAGAAUUGCUUAUUUCAGGGAUAGAUACAAGUUCAUGUAUAAGCAGGAACUGGACCAAUUUUGCGUUUGGAUGAAAAUUAGGUUGUUUUUAGAAAUAAGAUAAAUAGUAUUUGGAUGAUUAGAUUAGAACAAGCGGAAUGAGAGUUAUAGUUUUAAAUUAAAAUUAUUUUAUCUAAUUAAUUAACAUCAAAAUAUUACUUAAAAAUAAUUUAAUAAAAUAAUAAAUUCAUUAGCUAUGAAUAUCACAUAAGAUAUAUAAUAAAAAUAUAUUAAUUUAUUAAUUAAAUAUAAAAAAUGAUUUAACUUUUAAUUAGUUAGUAAAUUAUUUUAGCUAGAUAACUAGGUAAAAAAAUUAAUUAGAUUAAUAAAAAUAUUAAUAAUUGAUCAAUAUAAAUAUUAGUUUGUGGAUAAAUACAUUAAAUUAUUAAGAAGUAAUUAUAAAUAAUAAAUUAAUUAAUUAUUUUAUUAUUUAAGCAAUAAAUAAUAAUUUAAAUAUAUUAAUUAGAAUUAAUUAAUAAUUUAAUAUAAUAAUAAUUAAAAUUAAAUUUAGACUUUAAUUAACCUUGUUACCAUCUGGGAACAAUUAAACUUGUUACAAAAAAAGAAUGGAACAGCAAUUCCAGCCUUAUACCAGCGCUUAUUGCAGAAAAUCAGAGAGCUACUAUUUUCGAAUAACAAAUGCAGCAUUUGAGAACAAAAGGGGUAUAAGGAUUUAUAUUUUUCCCUUGUUUCCGGACCAAAUACUACCUAGGCGGCACCCUCAAAGGUAAGAUUUAUUAUUGUUAAGAAGUACGUUGCACAAAAAAUACUAAUGCACUAGGUGCAGGCAAUAGCUAGUGGGCUAAUCAAACGCUGGCAGGUACCUGUUGGCAUCGGGAUAUCGUUGGCAGUCUUUAAUUCCCGCGCUCUCCUGGUAGUUGAGCGCUUCCCCUCCCGUCCUUCAGAACUACUCGCAUUAAUAGGCGACCAACUCACCUAUCUCCCCACCACCCCCCCACCUCCUGCAGCAAAAUCCCCUCCUCCUCCUCCUCCUCCUCCUCCUCUUUUCACAUCUACUAUAACUCAUACUCAACACUCACUUUGCUUUCCCGAUCGAACACUCUACCUCAUUAUAAAUUAAAUUCCACUAGUCUCGCUUUGAUACCGUCAUUUAUACAAAUCUCCUCACGUUCUCCAAAAGUGAUUAAUUACUGGUGUGGUGUGAAGGGAUCAAAUAAUAAUUAAUGGAGGAGUCCUCGGCAAUGGACCGCGAGCGCCUGACGGCGGAGAUGGCCUUCCGGGACUCGUCCAUCGUCAUCAAGAUCCGCCGCCGCCUUCCCGACUUCGUCCAGUCCGUCAACCUCAAGUACGUCAAGCUCGGCCUCCGCUACGCCGACAGCCCCGCCGCCGUCUACCUGAUCCUCCCGCUCGUAGUCCUCGCCACCGCCUACGUCUUGUCGUCCGAUUUGAUCCCGUCCAUAAAGUCGCGGCUCGCGAUCGACCUCGUCACCGCGGCCGCGGUGGGGGUGGUGGCGCUGUUUCAGACCGCUUACUAUCUGAAGCGGCCGCGGCCGGUGUACCUGAUCGAGUUCGCGUGCUACAAGCCGGACGACGAGCACAAGAUCUCGAAGGAGGGGUUCCUGGAGAUGAGCGAGAGCACGGGGAGCUUCAACGGGGAGUCGCUGGACUUCCAGACGAAGAUCACGACGCGGUCGGGGCUGGGCGACGAGACGUACCUGCCGCCGGGGAUCCAGGCGCGGCCGCCGCGGCUGUGCAUGGCGGAGGCGCGGCGCGAGGCGGAGGCCGUGAUGUUCGGCUGCCUGGACGCGCUCUUCGCCGCGGCGGGGGGAUCCUGGUGGUGAACUGCAGCCUGUUCAACCCGACGCCGUCGCUGGCGUCCAUGAUCGUGAACCACUACAGGAUGAGGGAGGACAUCAAGAGCUUCAACCUCGGGGGGAUGGGGUGCAGCGCGGGGCUGAUCGCGGUGGACCUCGCCAAGGACCUGCUGCGCGCGAACAAGAACGCGUACGCCGUCGUGGUCAGCACGGAGAACAUCACGCUCAACUGGUACUUCGGGAACGACCGCUCGAUGCUGCUCUCCAACUGCAUAUUCCGGAUGGGCGGGGCCGCGCUGCUGCUCUCCAACCGGCGGGCCGACGCCGGGCGGGCCAAGUACCGCCUCGUGCACACCGUCCGCACGCACAAGGGCGCCGACGACGGCUGCUACGGCUGCGUCUACCAGAAGGAGGACGCCCGCGGCACCGUCGGCGUCUCGCUCGCCAGGGAGCUCAUGGCUGUCGCCGGCGACGCCCUCAAAACCAACAUCACCACUCUCGGACCCCUGGUACAUAUAUAUAUAUAUAUUUAUAUAAGUACCGUCCACUUUAAUUUCUCUAAAAAUAGUCUGAAAUUUUUACUUAAAUAAGAAAACUAUAAUUGCAAUAUAAAUACAUUCUGUAAAUUGUUUGGCGGCGGUCGAACGCUAUUAGUUUUAUUAGAAGAAAAUCGAACCGACUCGCUCUCGCCCUUUCUAUAGACUAUAUAUGCUCCAGAAUUAAUAACAACACAAGGCUAAUUAGUUUUUUUUUAUAUAUAUAUAUAUAUUUCAAAUGUACGUAAUACAAUUAAUAUUAUAUAAUUUCUAAAUAUCGCAUGAAUCAUUAAUAGUCAUUAAAAAGAAAGAAAGAAAGAUAGAGAGAAAAAAAAAAGAAAGAAAGCUAAUUAAAAAGAUUUAAAAAUAUUUUGCUGAUGAUGAACAAAUGAAUUAAACAGGUCCUCCCGCUCGGCGAGCAAUUCAAAUUUCUGAAGACUCUGUUCGCGAGGAGAGUUCUGCGGAUGCGAGAGGUGCGGCCGUACAUUCCGGACUUCCGGAAGGCGUUCGAGCACUUCUGCGUGCACGCGGGCGGGCGGGCGGUGCUGGAGGAGGUGGAACGGAAUCUGGGGCUGAGGGAGAGGGACAUGGAGCCCUCCAAAAGCGUGCUGCACAGAUUCGGCAACACCAGCAGCAGCUCCCUGUGGUACGAGCUCGCCUACGCCGAGGCCAAGGGGCGGGUUCGGCGAGGCGACCGGGUCUGGCAGAUCGGAUUCGGGUCGGGUUUCAAGUGCAACAGCGCCGUCUGGCGGGCGCUCAAAGACGUGCCGCCGUUGUCCGCCGCCGGCGCGCGCGGCCGCUGUAAUCCGUGGGCCGAUUGUAUAGAUAGCUAUCCUCGGAAGUAAUUUAAAAAAAAAAUUAAAUUAAAUAAUAUAAUUUGAUUUUUUUUCUCUUUUUUUUCUUUGGUGGAUGUGCUAAUUAAUUAGUAUUGUGGUUUCCCCCGCCAAAGCAGUGGAGCCGGGAAACAGUUUUUUUCCUUUUCAAUCACAUGAUGAUUAUUAUCAUUAUUAUUUUUCUAGAAGCUACUGUGCUAUUUCUAGGCUGUAAUUGGGUGGUUUCAUUCAAUACUAUGUUUGUGAUCAACAUAAACAGCAAAGCGUAAAUACCAAUACCAACUUACAGCAAACACCUCAAUUUUUAUUUUCUUUUUCAUUUUCUGUUUUUCUUUUUUUUUUCCCCAAAGAGUAUUCUUGCACACUUGAGAGCCAACAUUAACUGCAAAUCACAAAAAUGGCAUUUGUACAAGAAAUAGGACACGAUAAAGUUGCUCUCUAUUAUAGCAGCUCUCUGUUUCUUGUUUCUGUGGGAUACUUUUUUGAUGCUUUUAUUUGGCAAACACAUUACUUUAUUUAAAUCAAAAGUACUGCAGUUAAUUAUAGAUACUAUCUUAUCAGAAUCCUUAGUACUGCCUGCAAAGUAAUAUGCAACAGUAAAAAUCGGAAAAUGCAAAAACGGUCAGUUUGAAAAGAUAUAAAAUGUGUUAAAAAAAACAAUUUUAAAAUAAAAAAUUCAUUUUUUAAAAAAAAUGAUUUUUAUUUUUAGAAAUAAUUUUCUAAUUUUAGAGGGUCCAAAAGCAAAAGUAGCUAAAAAUUAAUUUUUAAAAAUUUGAUUGUGAUUUUGGAUUAAAGCUUUAAAUUAAAUUUUAGUUUUACAUUCAAAUUUUAAAUUUAAAUUAGAUUUUACAUAUAAAAUAUAAAAUAUAAAAUUUAGAUUAUAAAUUUAUUUUUAAAUUUUAAAUUUAAUUUAUUAUAUUAAUUUUAAACUUAAAAAAUAAAAUUUAAAAUUUAAAAUUUAAAAUGUAUAAUUUUAAUUUUAAAAAUUGAAAUUUAAAAUUUAAAAUUUAAUUGUAAAGUUUAAUUUUUAUUUUUUAAUUUAAAAUUUACAUUUAAAUUUAAAAAAUAAUAAUUUGAAAAAUUGCAAUUUUAUACAUUAUAUGUUCAAUUUUAAAUUCUGAAUUUCAAAUUGUAAAGUUAAAUUAUAAAUUUAAAUUAUAAAAUGAUGUAGUUUCUGUGUUUCGGCGCUUCGAUGCGUCGUACGAGGUAGAGAGGCUCGCGUUGGUGAGAAUGGGGGUCGGAGGGGGAGGGGGAGGGGGAGGAAAGGGUUGGAGAAUAGUAUAAUUUUUUUUUGAAACAGUAUAAUUUUUAUCGAAAGAACACAAUUUUUAUUUUAAAGAGUGUAAUUUUCAUCAAAAUAGUGCAAUGUUUAUAUUAAAUAGUACAAUUCUCUUGUAAAAUAGUAUAAUUUUAUUUCAAAAGUCCAAUCUUCAUCUUCUUCUUUCUUUUUUUCUAAUUCUUAAAUUUUUCGGUAAAAGCAAUGAUAUAUAAUGGUCUUUCAAAAAAAAAAAAUUCUUUAUUUUUUCACUUUUUAUUUUUGUUUUUU